UACCUGAUCGCCGUUGUUCCGGAUGAGGAAGUCCCUGUCCGGAGAAGACAAGAGGGACUGAACAUCGUGAGAAGAAGCCCCGCCCUCGACAACAUCCGCCAUAUUCGUCGCUUCACUCGUGUUUUGGUGGAGAGUGCUUGCUGGUUCCAAGAAUUACCCCAUCUAUACCAGACUGCAUUUUAAGAAUUUCGAACGGGGAAGACCACGAAGAGAGUCUAAGUCAACUCUUCGCGUAUUAAUCAAUGGCGACGGUUCCGACCUCGUGCGGUUCGUCCAAUGAACAUUCGCUCUCACACGGACGUUUCGAGGUAAAAAUGGACAUGAUCAUGAUCAUCGUUCGUUUCUUGCAUUGUGGGGGUCCACCCAAUGCCACCGGUUUCUAUUUUCUGUUUUUUCGUAAAAUUUAUUUUGGAUUUGCUUUAAAACAUACAUCGUAAAGUGGGCAGCGAGAUAAGGAGUUUCAGGGCCUUACUUUGGCCCACUGCAGCAGAGAAGCUAACAGCAAAAGCCCGUCGUUUUAAUUAUCUUCCCACUAAUUAGUUUUCUAAUCCCCGACUGCUCUAUUUGACUUAUUAUGCACUGAUGCUUUUAAUGUAUUUCCUCUAAACUUGGCUAAGUAAAUUAAUAGCAAUGGCAUUUUCGUUCAAAAAAAAAAAAUUGGGCAGCGAGAUUACCGACCAAAAAAAUUUCCGCCCCUUGCAUGACUAAACGUGCCCCAUUUUCAAUAAAAAGACAAAGUUUCCCUUAAUUAUUCAAUUACAAUUUAAAGUAAUAGCCCCCAAUUUAUGUACUUUCCUUCUUUUGUUAGUUUUCCAUUUAUAUGUAACAUCUAGUUACCAUAAUUAAGAAUAUCAUGUGUUUCGUUCUUGCUUAUUAUGAGUAUCCCAUAUAUAUUAAAUGCAUUAUGUUUUCUCUUUAUUUUAAGAUUUUACUUUCAUUCAAAUAUAAUUUUAUCGAAAAGAGAAAUUUCAAAGAAACUUAGUUAUUUUCUACAUUAUCAAGCAAAUUAUUUAUUAAUUGUCCCGUAAAACCUAGAAAAGAUUUAACAUAGAUUACUUUUCAACACAGUGUUUAUAAAAUUUUACUAUGUUGGGCAUAUCACCACCAAAUCUUUUUUAUCGGUUGUCUUUUUAUAUACAUAUAUAUUUUAUGGGAUGAUUGGAUGAGACACACACACACACAAAAACCUCUUUAAAGCUUUUUCCUAAAUAAAUCAUAAUUACUGUGUGUAUAUAUAACAAAAUAUGUGAAAGUAGGUCGAUAUGGUAAUGAUUGGGUCAAGUCUACUUUUAAAUUUCAUUAGGGUAUCAAGUGAUGAGGUCCAUUUUGAAGGAUGGAUUAUCUGGCAUAUGGUGGCUGUUGAAUAUGUAAUAAUUUUUGGGUUGUGUGUAUCUGGAAAAUGUUUGAAUUUCAUGGAUCCUGUUUCAAUCAAAAUUUGUUCAUAAUAAGUAAUGUGUUUGUGCUUAUCAUGAGGUGUGAAAUACCAAUUUUCAUAAUAAGCAAUGGUGCAAUUCCAGCUCCAAGAGCCCAUCGUGCACAAAAAAGGUGCAAUUCCAUUGUAACAAACACCGUCGGCAGAUGUCUCUUGAGCUGUCGUUAAAGACCUCUUGGGCUUACGCCAACAAAACUUUGACUUACACUAACACGAAGGUGAGACGUGUGGAAAGGCUUCGUCAUCAAUUUGAGAUGAUAAGGAUGCGUGCCUACAAGAGGAAGUGCACAUCUUCGUCUACUGGAUGCCUUUACAUAAUACGAAAGGAUCAUUUACUUUUGGUUAUGUUCAAACUACAGUCUACUUUCUAUAAGUCCUUAUUUAAAUGAACCUAGCUUACUCAUCAAUUUGAGAUGACAGGGACGCGUGCUUACCCGUGAAGUGCACAUCUACAUCCACUGGAUGCAUACAAAAGGAUCAUUUACUUUUGGUUAUGUUCAAACUACAAUCUACUUUUUCUUUUUCUUGGUCAAACUACAGUCUCCUUAAUUCAGACAUUUCUUACUUAAUAAUUCAUUGACGAGCAGCCGAGGUGGACAUGCUUAUGGAAGCUGUGGAUCUUUAACGCAUAAGAGAAUCUUAUGGUGUAUUUGUUUCACGGAAAAUAAAUAAUUUGAAAAAUAUUUUCCUAAAAACGGUUAUUUGUAUCAUUCACAAAAAUAAAUGAACGAGUGCAUAAAUUAUUGUCGAUAAUAAAAACAUUUGUCAUUAACUAAUUAUUUCAUGAAACAAACGGAGCUUCAAGGCUAUACCUGCUAAGGAAGAAAGAGCUCCAAGAAAUUUCAAUUUAAAACACGAGGAAUGAGAACAACUAAAAAAUUGAAGUAAAUGAUAAAGCGAUCUUCUGGUAAACUCAAAUGUGAAAUAUCUUCAGGGAUAACAUAAUACUUAUUUUUGUGGUUGUUGAAAUAUCCCAUGUUCCCGCAUAUAUGUCUUACAUGCAUUGGUAUGUUGAUGGUGAGAGGCUUAGUUUGAACUAGACAUGAGCGGUUUCAAGUUCUAUAUAAGUUCCACCGAGAAUAUAAAACCUACCAAUUAGAAUAGGUUCCUCAUUUUUUGAAAUCCGGAACCUAACCUGCAUACCUUAGAACCUAGAGUCUAUCCUAUCGCAAGUUCCAAGGUCGAUUAUAGGGUCUAUCCAGGUUCUACCUAUAUCAUUAUUUGAAUGAUUACAAUUCACUAAUCAUAACUUAUAUUUAGACACACGAAAAAUAUGAAUAUUAAUAAAGUAAAAAUCUUAAUCAUAAAAUGAAAACUCAGACUAGUGCUUCCAGAUUAUACACUCAUCAUCAUCGAAUGAUAUGGAAUAUCAGAGAAUUGCAUAGAGACAUGGGCUAAGAAAAACAUUAAAACUUGUUCCAAAUUCCAAGUUCCUUCAACUAAAAAUUGGAAAUCUAUCCAUUAAAACAGGUUUCUUAAUUUUUGGAACUUGAAACCUAGAACCUACUUUAGAUAACUUAGAACCUAGAACAUACAAGUUCCCACCGAACGGGUUCCAAGUUCUACUUUCAAACAAUUCUCACCCCUGAUAGUUAUGUUCCCAUCAAUGAAACUUCAAAAGAUGGAAUCUAAAUAUACUAGAGCUUUGUGUAAAAUAAGAUUUUUUUGCAAAACACCAUGGAAAUUUCAUUGUUUUUUAUUGAUAAAAAUGAAUAUCAUUCACGGAGCAUUUACAAACAAUAUCAAAAUGCAUCAUUGUGCAUAACUAUAUCAUGUUAAUGUUUUUAGUGUUGUUUUAAACACUCCUAUAAUGUCUUACAUGUUUCGUGUCAAAGCAUCUCAUCAAUAGUAAUUAAGAAAUAAAUAAAUAAAUAAGAAAAAUCUUUGAUAUAGUAAAUAUAAAGACUUGAUGUAUAUUUUAGACUAACGAAAUUAAAAAAUAAAAAAGUCACCAAGAAAGUAAGCUUUGAGAGAUGAGUUUUUUAUAAGAGCAGUGAUGUAGAAGAGACUACUUUUAUUUUCUAAAUAUCUAUAAGUUCAAGUUUGACGAAAAACCAUAAACAAAAACAAGCAUGUGACAUUCUUAAUUAUGACUAUUAGAUCUUACACAUAAUAAUACAAACUAAAAAAAGGAAGGAAAGUAAAUAAAUUUGGAGCUAUCACUUUAGAUUGCAAAUGAAAUUGAGGAUGAUAUUGUCUUUUUAGUGAAAAUAGGGGUGGGUUUAGUUAUACAAUGAGUAAAAAUAGCGCCGCCCUUUAAUAUUAUGAUAUCUUGUUACUCGUAUUGAAAAAACAAGGGCCUUUCUUUGGAUCCUUGGUGUUCGGUUAAGACAACCUCACCAAAGGAAGGGAGCUUUUGCUUCUACAAUGGCCUCCACAGCCUAUCUAUUUGAUAUAUGGGACGACAGGCUCUACGGAUGUGGUCUUUAUUUUUAACGUGUCAAUGUCCAUACAUCUUAUGCCCCUAAUUCCCCUUGGAUCAUUUUCUUCUCUACCAAGAAGGAACACCUUCUAGUUGCUUUAUAUUCAAGUGAUCUUGAAAUCUAGAUGAAAACCAAGAGGAAGCUUUUUAAGAAUUUGCUUAGGUCUGGACUUUUUAAUAUUGCUAUUUCUUGUUACCUAUAUUUUGCAGUUCUUUUCAUUUGGAUUUUUUUUUUUUGAGAGAGUUUUCUGUUUUUUUUUUGUCGAAAUAUUUGGAGAGAGUUCAAAAGGUGCUUUUUGUUUGACUUUUUCCCCCCUAAAACGAACCUUCCAUUCCAUCAAAGCAGUCCCAAUAUUACGAGGAAUUAGAACCAUUAAGAUAAUAAAAUAAAGAAAACUUCACUAAUACUAUAUUUUUAAGUAUAGAGGGGAGAUCAUUUAAAAAGAAGAAAGAAAAAAAGAAGAAUAUGAGAGUUCAAGACAAAAGGAUGAAUACACUAAGGGCAAAGCUCUUUUGUUAAAUAACAUCAAUUAAUACUUUGCAAUUACUUUUGAAAACGCUUUAUGGAUGUCGAGGAACUAAGGGCGCGUUUGGCAACGAUUCUAUUCUCGGGAACUGAUUCUGACAAGAAAUGAUUAUUUUUUAUUCUGUUCCCGAAAACUGAUUAUGAGUAAAAGAACGUGUUUUGUAACUGUCUAAAAUUUCUGAUUCUGGAAUAGAAUUGCGUUUGAUAACGUGUUCAUUGAUUAUGUUCCAAAUUAUUUUUUUUAUUUUUAAAUAAUUUUUUGUACUUUUGUACUUUUUUUUCUUCUUUUUUUUAUACCUUUUUUCCUUUUCUUUUUUCUUUUUUUCUUUUCUUUUUUUCCUUUUUCUCCUAUUUUUCUUCUUCUUCUUGUGGCCGGUCGCCGGACCGACGACUGACCGUACGAGGGCCGGCGACCUCACCAGAGUGUUGCCGACCCUCGACGAAGUUGGCCCGCGUCGGCCGAGCCUCGCUGACAGCUGGGCGAGGCUCGCCCAACCCCGCCGAGCGUCGCCGGUGGACAGGCGGGCCUCGCCGGGGCUGGGCUAGGCGAGGCUUGCCUGGCCAUCGGUCAGGCUAGGUGAGCCCAGCCGGUGGACAGGCGGGCCUCACCGGGGUUGGGCGAGGCCCGCCUGGCCACCGAUUAGGCUAGGCGAGCCCGGCCGGUGGCUAGGCGGGCCUCACCUCGCCGGUGGACAGGCGAGCCUCGCCCCGCCCCGGCGAGGCUCGCCAGUGGCUGGGCGAGCUCGCUAGACCGGCGGCCGGUGACCGACGGCGGGUUGUGGUGGGCGGCGGCGGACGGCAGCGGGCGGCAGCGGCGGGCGACGGCGGUAGGCGACGGUCGCGGGAUGGCGGAAGGAAAGAAGAAGAGUUUUAUUGUUUGAUUCUUUUUUUUAUUCUCAGACGCAGAAUCAACUUUUUUUUUAUUCUCAAAUCUACUCCCAAACUGAUUCUAGGAACAAAAAUUUUACCAAACGCGAUUCUCGUCCCAAACUGAUUCUAGGAACAAAAAAUCAGAAUCAGUCACUGUUUGGCAUGUUGCCAAACAGGGCCUAAGUAGCUUUCCGUGCAAGAAGAGGAGAUGCAGCUUCCACUUUCAUUGGCCAGUUCCAUCUUCCUCGUCUUGUUCAUGCUUCAACGACUGAACCUCAUCUAAUCAUGUAAUUAUACCUAUGGCCCCUUUUUUAUCCUUCCAUGCGCCAUCUAUACUAAACUUCAAACCUUAGUUUGGAAAGGAAUACAAGAGUUUGUCCUUACUCCAAUAAAAUCUGAUUCUUGAUUUAAUUCAUAUCUAAUCUCCUUCCUAAACAUAUUCAAAUAUUUCAUGAAAUCUUAUAUUGGGAAUGAACUAGAAUAAUAUGAUCAUAUAACUUUGCAUUCUAAUAAUGCCAUGUUCUAGUGCAAAGAAUUGUAAAGGGUGAAGAGCUUGCACUCCAAUCUCAUUCUCUAUGAUGUUUUUCCUGGAUCAAGAAAGCGUCUCAUUGUCUCUUCUUGAGACCUAAAGUUCCAAGCAAAUGAGAUAAUACCCAAUGGGCUCUAUCUCUACAAAAUUUGGGCAAAAGGACAUGUUAACAAAUGUAGCAAAUUUUCCUCCAAGGCUUCACGCAACAAGAAAGAAGGGUCUAAGAUAUGGAGCAAUUGAAACAAGUUAACUUAAGAAGGUAAGACAUUAGCUGUUAUCCUGUACUACAACACUUUUUGCUGCUCAUAAACUCUACCUUUCCAUACCAUUCUAGAAUGUCAGAACCUGGCUAUGAUUCUGAAUUAAUAUUGUCUAGCUGCUGGACAAGAGAUUAAUUUAAACAAAUCAGGCAUAUUUUUCAGCAAGGGCUACCCUCAAACAUUGAAAAAUAAUAUGGCAAGGGAAUUGAGAGUUCCUAUUAUUUUUAAACUAGCAAAUAUCUAGGUAUUCCCUCGGAUUGGGGAGAGUCGAAAAAACAAAUAUUUGCAUGGGUCCUUAGGAGAAUCAGUUCAAAAUUAGAAAGCUGGAAGGAGAAGCUGCUCUCUAAAGCUGGAAAAGAAGUCUUGUUGAAAACAAUGAUUCAAGCACUACCUCAAUAUGCUAUGUCUGUAUUUAAAAUCCCAGUAUCUAUUUGCAAGGCCAUUGAACAGAAAAUUGCUUCAUUUUGGUGGAAGACUAAUGAAAAAAAAGAAGGCAUUCAUUGGAAGAGAUUAGGGGUGAGCACGGUUCCCGGGUAGAACCGAGAACCGGGGAACCGAACCAGAGGGUUAGGUUCGGUUCCCGAUUCCUAAGACACCGGUUCCGGUUCCCGGUUCCCUUUUUCUGGGAACCGGAACCGGUCACAAUUCUAAAAAAAAAAACCAUAGCUUCCCCCGCAUGAUUUCCCCCCUCUGCGAUUCUUCCCCCCCUUCCUCUUUCUUUCUCUCUCUCUCUUUCUUUUCUCCACUUUUCACUCCUCAGUCCUCACGUCACUUCCUGCCCCCAACUUUUUUCUUUUCUUCUCUCUCUCCUCUUUCCCCCCCUCUCGGCCGAGACCCCACCUCUUCUUCUUCUUCUUCUUCUUCUUCUUCUUCCUCCUCCUCUUGCUGGCUGCUGCUUCACCCACCACCACACCGCCGCCCCACUCCCUACUCACCACCAUCUCUUGGCCACCGAACCACCACCACCCACCAUUUGUCCGAUGAGCCGUCUCGCCGUUGAGGCCGACGAGCUGUCGCGCCGUCUGCGUUACCCCUCGCCGCCGUGAGCCGCCGCCGCCGUCUCCAAGCCACCAUCACCACCUCUUGCCACCGCUCGCUCGGCUGUCCAGGCCGUUGUUGCUUCGAACCGCCAUCGCCUCCGCCAGAACCGAGCUCUUCCCCCCUUGGCCGUGGGUUGAGCCGCGACCGCCGCCGUCUUCGCCGCGCCGUCCGUGCCGCCGUUGGUGCCGUGAGACUCGUGUGUUCGUCGCCGUCGCCGUCACCGCGUGCUCACCGUGGCCGGACCUCCCUUGAAGAUCGAUCUGGCCACGAACGAUUCGAUGGGGAACUGCCGGUGGCCGGGCUUUGCGAACCUCGCUUGCGGCUCGAUGAAUCGGAUGGCCUCAUCGAGGUUCCAGUUCGCCGCCUCCAUCUUGUGAGCCAUGGCUUUCGCAAAGUGCCUCACGGAUCGUAAGGUGUAGUGGAGGACUUGGGCGAAGUGGGUCGGGCUCAACGACGUGAGCUUGAAGCCGUCGAACAGGGGCGAGACGCCGCUCGCGUUGAGCUUCUUCUCCGACGACCAGUUCUCGGAGACGAGCUCGUCGAGCUUCCUUCUCAGCGCGGAGAUCUCCGACUCCUUGCGCUCCGCCUCGGCCUCCAUCUUCUUCAUCGUGAUCUCGUACGUCCUCAUGAGGCUCUGCUGCUCCUAAAUCUCUGCCAACAUCAGCGUCACCUGUGGGGAGAGGUCAAGCUCCUUCCUGAGGAACUUGAUUACGUUAAUUCCAGACAGUGGAAGAGAUGAAUUUAACAUCAUGCGUAAGGCUAUUUCUCCAAAAGAAUUUAAUAUCAUGCAUAAGGCUAACGUAGAUACCCCUAACAAUAAUGAAAGGGGAAGAAAAUGGGGAGAAAUAUCUGCUUCUCUCUUUUAUAUCAGUUCAUUCUUUCAUUAAUUUUUCAAAAAUUUUAGAUAUGGCUGUUGGUAAAUGCUGUGUCCUAACUCGCAUGCCGACUUAAAUUGACCUAACUCCAUAUUCUCUGUUAUUUCAUUUCUUUCUUUCUUUUUUCACUUCUGUUCAGCUAUUGUUUUCGAUGCUCCAACAACUGUCAACACCUUUAAAGUUUCUGCUGACGUUGAAUUACCAAAUUAUAUAUUAGAGAAUGAAGAACUAUAAAUUUAGUUGUCUAUUCAAAUGUAAAAGAUUCACAUUGCUAUGUAUUGGCAGGUACCGAAAAUGGAGGGCCAACUAUUGAAUUAUUUCGGCUUUCGGAUAUUCGCGCUCACUACGAAAAUGAAAAAAAAAAGAAAAAAAAAGAACCUGUUGGAACCUGGAACCGACCCCGGAACCUGUGACAGGGUAGGUUCCAGGUUCUCGGUUUUGACGGGUAGGUUCCAGGUUCCAAAAAUUGAGGAACCUAUACCCGAGGGUAGGUUCCAGGUUCCGGACGGAACCGAACCGGAACCGGGAACCGCUCACCCCUAGAAGAGAUGGGAUUUAUUGAAAAUCAAAAAAGAUAGAGGUGGUAUGGGUUUUAGAAAUUUUCUCUCUUUUAAUAGAGCAAUGUUAGGGAAGCAAGUAUGGCGACUGGUACAACAACCAUCUUCUCUUUGGGGCAGAUUAUUCAAGGGGUUAUACUAUCCAUACAUGGAUUUUUGGCAUGCAAUAAAUGACAUUCGACCUUCAUGGGGAUGGAGAAGCCUGGUCCUAUGGAGGGAUUCUAUAGUACCCAAAAUCAUGUGGAAAGUAGGAGAUGGAUCUAAGAUUAAAAUCAGGGAUGAUAAAUGUCUGCACAGAGGUACUAUUGAGGGUCCAAUGCAUGUCAAUGAACCUUCUUUAGUCUCAGAAAUUAUAGACAAAGAGCAAGGGAGAUGGGAUGAAAUUAAAAUAGCAGCACACUUUGAUGAACAGUUAGCUGAAGAAAUUAUGACUAUCCCUAUUAAGCUCCAAACAGAAACGGAUCAACUUGUAUGGACUAGCACGCAGGCAAGCAAAUAUACAGUGAAAAGUGCGUAUAACUACAUCAAGGAGGACAAAGCACAAGCUCAGGAAAAUCAGGCUACAACUUCUUUUCAACCUCCCCCCUCACUCUAGAAAGACAUUUGGAAUUUGCACACCCCACCCAAGAUAAAAAAAAAAAAAUUAUGUGGAAUUUAUGCAACAUGCUCUCCCAACAAAAGAUAACCUGUUUGGAAGGAAAAUAUUACCUGACCCCAUGUGCCCAUUAUGCAAUUUUGACAGGGAAACGGUUGAACAUCUAUUCUUGCUGUGUCCAUGGACAAGACAAAUUUGGGACACUGAGCUGAACAUUAAAAUUUCACGUCAGGCUUGACAAGGAUAGAAGAAUGGUUUUGUCAACUCAAAAAGAAGACAACGAACCCUCCAAACCUACACAUGGUGGCUGUAAUGUUGUGGAAUAUGUGGAAGGCCCGAAAUCAGGCAGUCUUUCGGGGUAGAAAACUAGAGGCGUCGGCUAUCAUCGAUUCAGCACAAGCGGUCCUCAAAAGCUAUCACAAGUGGAAUCCAAGGAAGGGUGGAUCCAAAGAUAAUGGAGAAGCCGAACCUGAAAAUAGAGAAAUCAGCACGGAAAUUAACGAGACUAAUGCAGAGUUGAGACAGGGAAACAGAGAAUCGGGUGAGGAGCAACAACCUAUGACUCGUAUGCAAGAACACAGAGCAGAUGAUGGUUUGCGAAACAGGGUAGAUGAGUGGAGAGGAAACAUGAGAUCAAGGUUGUGUGGUGAGCUGAGCCUAGGUAGUAGAGUGGCGUCGGAACAGGAGUGGAAGGCAGUAGAGCACGACGGCGAGACGAGCACUCUUGGCCUAGCACCUCUAACCCUCAACUUACUGGUGAAGUCAGGUACAAAGCAAGGGAAUCAAGGACCAGGAGGCAGAACGGUGAGUUGCGAACCUGAACCCGACAGGAGGAAGCCAAAGAGAACAAGCGAUCCCUUCACAAAUCUGAAACCCAAGAAGCUGCAUGUUGGAGGACCCACGAAGUUGGCGGAUCUGAAUCUUGAGAAAUCGACCCCUCUCAACUCAGCAAUGAUAACCAUCAAAUUAUUGGUGAAGCCGAGAGCGAAGUAGACGGAUCAAUGACCAGUGGGCCGAACGGCGACCAGCGAACACGAACCUGACCAGAGGAAGUCGAAAAGGACGGUCGAUUCGAAAGGAAAGCAAGUGAGAAGAAUGGAGAGCGGCGCCCUAGAUUGAGAGAUGAGCCGAGACAGAGCCAUAGAGUGCCGAAAAUGGAAGGAUGUGCUGGUGCAGAGGGCAAAGUAAGAAGAUCUGAAACCUCAGAAGCUACUCAUAGGAAAUCCCUCGAAGUCGACAGAUCUGCAACUUGAGCAACAAAACCCUCUCAAACAUGGAUUCCACCGCUAGGAGGAGCCUUGAAGAUAAACAUAGAUGGAACAUUCUUACCUGGUUCGUUGGAGAAUUCUAUUGCCUGCAUAUGCCAUGAUUCGGAGGGGAGGAUGGUGGGGGAAGAGGCUAAAGCAAUCAAAGCCUCCUCCCCCUUGAUGGCCGAAACCCUAGCACUUUGGGAAGCCCUCAACUUUUUUUACCCUAAAAGACACGAAGUACUUCUCUUUGAGUUAGACAGUUCGCAACUUAUUAAAGUAAUGACCAGUUCACAGCAGUUAAGUUGGGAAGUUCAACCUAUUUCUGCAAAUGCAAGGAAAAAAUGCAGGCCUUUUCACAUGUUCAGAUAUCCCAUUGCUCUAGAGAGGUCAAUCGUUCUGCAGAUUGGGUAGCUAAAGCCCAUAAGAACAACUACUUAUUUCUGAAUUGAGUUUUAUCACCUCCACAAAUUUUAUGGGACCUUUUGUGUAAUGAUGCCCCUUUAUCGGGCCUCUCAUCUUUGAUUACUUAAUGAAAUGCUUUAGCUUCUGACCCAAAAAAAAAAAAAAAACUCUAGCUUUCCAAAUUUUGCUCGAAAUCUUAGAGUUGUUGCCAUUUUCAAUUCACAACUUGAUGAGUUUGUAUUUAACAAAAUAUAUUCCAUCAGUAAUUGAUUUGCCCACCCAUAUGGAAUUCGGCCCAUGGAUCUAAAGAAUGGCUUGGAUAACUUUGUUUUCCCUUCGAAUCUAGUACAAGUAAUUUGGUCAUAGACAAAAGAAAUUAUUAAAGCUUCAUUUAUGAUAACUUGACAUUAAGUGAAUCAUGCAUGUCUCCAAUUUUAGUUAGAUGGAAUCCUCCACCUACCCUGUAGAUUGAACCAUAUACUUAUGAGGCCUUUAAAGGCAAUCUAGGACUUGAUGGUGCAAAGGGUUUAUUUAGAAACAAAGGGGGCACCGAAUUAGUGGUUUUGCUGCAUUUGUAUAAAUAUGUUCAUCAACACGAGCAGAACUUUGGGCUUUGUAAUUGAGAAUCAACUUCACAAAACAACUUGGAUUUUAUAAGAUUAUAAUUGAGAUCGACUCUGAAAGCCAUUGCUAAUCUUCUUAAUUCGGAGUUGAUGAUUGAUAAUGCCAAUCCUAUUUUGCUUAAAGAUAUCAAAAGGCUAUAGGGCCCUUUCACUUUGAGUUUAAAGUGCAACAUAACUCUCGAGAAGAAAAUCCAUAAGCGCUUAGUUACUAGCUUCUUUUCAUUACCUCCUAUAUAAAGUUACUUCAUGUUUUAUCAGCAGAUAAAAUAGGGAUAACUAGAGCUGCGACGUUAAAUUUUUGUAUUAGGCUUCUGCCCUUUUUCGUACCAAAAAAAAAUUUAAAAAAAAAAAUUCCAAAUAUUUUGUCAUCCAAAAGUCACCCAAUUCCAAACCAUUGGUCCAGACUCCAGAAGGCAUCUCCCCGAGAGGAGAAAAGACCUAUAAAAUCGACCAGAAACCAGAUCGAGAAUCUUCAUCCCGAACCUCCUCCUUCGAUCUCUCAGCAAUCUCUCUCUCUCUCUUUCUCUCUCUCGAGCGGUCUCUCUCCUUCCUCCUUCAAGCCUCAAGGUAAUCCGCCGAUCCUCCUUCGCUGUGUCGACUACAAUCUCCGUCUGCCUUCUGGGUACACAGGAUUUCUUUGCGACUCUCGGAUUGGUCGAGGUUUCGUCUGUUUUCGCCUCGAUUUUGCGAAUCGUAGCGUGCGUUUUGCCUCCGAUAGAUGUCCGCCGGAUCGUGAGAUGAUCCGCGUGCGGAUCGUCUGAUUUCUCGCGCCGGGGGCUUAGGUCGUCGGUUUCCCUCGCGAUCGGUUUUCGCUUGUGCUGGUUGUUCGCUAAUUUCUGUCUUUUGAUAGCUUCAGUUGAUUGUGUGCGUUGUCGGAUCUUAUCUGUGAGUUGUGCAGACGUUUGUUUGUUUGGAGUGAUGAGGAUGGAAGAUAAUUUUUUUUUUUUUUUUUGGGUCAUUCCUGUGGAUUGAUUCCCCAUUUUUCAGAGCUCUUGGCUGUCUAGUUUCUAUACGAUUUAUAAUGUCCAUGAUUUGUUUAAUCCCAAUGCUUGACCACUACUCCUGUGAUUGCUAACGGUACCUGAAGUUUUGUUGUGCGAAGGGUAUUCUGUGUUUUUGAUUAAUUGAUUUGGUGCCUAAAAUUUAAUUUAGAGUUUCCGCAGCCUUGGUUGGUGCCCGCAAACAUGUGUUGAUUGUUGUGUCGUUUCUCGAUUUGGGUUACAGAAGAAUCUAGUGAAACGUUCUUGUUGUCUCUCUCCCUCUUUCUUAAGUAUGCAAAUCAAGAAUUGAAUUGCAAUGACUGACAUAAGCCACGAAGACGUCAAAGAGUGUGGAGCGGAAUCUAAUCUGGCUGGUUUACUCGAUAUUUCUUGCAUUUGAGGAGUUGCAAUUUUGCAAAUAUGGUUUGUUUUUGCUAUGUAUACUUGUUCUAGUUUCAUGUCACCUAAUUUCUUCCCUUUUUUUUCUGUUUGAAUCUCUUAGAUGCAAAUUUUCGUGAAAACCCUUACUGGCAAGACCAUCACCCUCGAGGUCGAAAGCUCAGACACAAUCGACAAUGUGAAAGCCAAGAUCCAAGACAAGGAGGGAAUCCCCCCUGACCAGCAGAGGCUUAUCUUUGCUGGGAAGCAGCUUGAGGAUGGACGCACUUUGGCUGAUUAUAACAUUCAGAAGGAAUCCACCCUUCACUUGGUUCUCCGUCUCAGGGGUGGCAUGCAGAUAUUUGUGAAGACCCUCACUGGCAAGACGAUUACCCUAGAGGUUGAAAGUUCGGACACCAUCGAUAAUGUAAAGGCGAAAAUCCAGGACAAGGAAGGAAUUCCCCCAGAUCAGCAGAGGUUGAUUUUCGCGGGCAAGCAACUUGAGGAUGGCCGAACUCUGGCGGACUACAACAUCCAGAAGGAAUCAACACUCCACUUGGUGCUUCGUCUCAGAGGUGGCAUGCAAAUCUUUGUGAAGACCCUCACUGGCAAGACCAUAACCCUUGAGGUUGAAAGUUCGGACACUAUCGAUAACGUGAAGGCGAAAAUCCAGGACAAGGAGGGAAUCCCCCCAGACCAGCAGAGGUUGAUUUUCGCUGGCAAGCAACUUGAGGAUGGCAGGACGCUUGCAGACUACAACAUUCAAAAGGAAUCCACCCUUCACUUGGUGCUCCGUCUGAGGGGAGGAAUGCAAAUCUUUGUCAAGACCCUAACUGGGAAGACGAUCACUUUGGAAGUUGAGAGCUCCGACACCAUUGACAAUGUCAAAGCCAAAAUUCAGGACAAGGAAGGCAUUCCCCCAGAUCAGCAAAGGCUUAUCUUUGCUGGGAAACAACUUGAGGAUGGUAGGACUUUGGCGGAUUACAACAUCCAGAAGGAGUCCACUCUUCACUUGGUGCUGCGACUGAGGGGAGGCAUGCAGAUUUUUGUCAAGACCCUUACUGGGAAGACCAUAACUUUGGAAGUUGAGAGCUCGGAUACCAUUGAUAAUGUCAAAGCUAAGAUACAGGACAAAGAAGGCAUUCCCCCAGAUCAGCAGAGGUUGAUUUUCGCCGGGAAGCAACUUGAGGAUGGCCGGACACUGGCGGAUUACAACAUUCAGAAGGAGUCAACUCUACAUCUUGUGCUUCGCCUCCGCGGUGGAAUGCAGAUUUUUGUCAAGACUCUGACCGGUAAGACCAUCACUCUUGAGGUGGAAAGUUCAGACACCAUCGACAAUGUGAAGGCGAAGAUCCAGGAUAAGGAGGGCAUCCCUCCGGACCAGCAGAGGCUGAUUUUUGCCGGGAAGCAACUGGAAGAUGGGAGGACACUGGCCGAUUAUAACAUUCAGAAAGAGUCGACUCUGCACUUAGUCCUUCGUCUGCGCGGCGGCUUUUAAGUCUCUUGCGAAAAGUUUUCAUCGAGUCAAGCUCUGUGUUUAUCUAAGUUUGGUCGGUUCUAAUGUUUGGCUUUAUGUUUGGGUAAUAAUGUCUGCUGAUGGAUGGAAUUGGUAUGGAUAAUAUGUCAACUUCUUUGGUUUGGUCAUCAGUUUGAUGGACAUGAAUUGAUCUAGUAUUCUCUUAUUUGAGGGUUGUGGCUUUUGAGCGUUGUUUCACUAGUUGAACUCGUAUAUUCCAGUUGUUAGUUUCUCUGUUGCUUACAUAUGUAUGAAUAUGGCGAACCAAUCGCUUGCAUAUGGCGAAGCUAUGCUUCGAAAACCCUGCUGAGCGACUUUUAGUUGCUUUUGGGAAGGAAAAGCAAUAUAAAUCAGGCUGCAUUAUCUCUCUAAGACGAAAGAUGAAAUAUAUUGGCAUAAUACAGGAAGUAAACAUGUGAUUCAUGUCUUAAAUUAGCAGGUUUACCGUAGGAUGCCUUACUUUUUUCUCUAAUCGCAGUUUAACUUAUGUUGCAGCUUCUGGUUUUGCUUUUUCGAUCAAUCGUCAGAAAACCUAGCAUCGAGCCAGACUUGGGAGACUUCAUCCAUUAUCACUAAUUAAAUCAAUUUUGAUCUGGAUCUAGAGUCACCAUCCACUGAUAUAACAUGUUCUAUAACGUGCAAAUCUCAAAGCUGCAUCUUCUGAAGGAGAGCCGGAGCUGCUUGGUACAAUCAAUGCCGAUCACAGAUUAUUGUAGCCUACUGCUCUGCUUGGCACAGGGCUCGUAUAAGAUAAAGAUUUUAUUACGACUGCGAAUUGUCAAAGUCACAUAAUAACACACCCAAAGUAUGAAUAAUGUACAUCCCUUAUGCGAACCCUCCGCAUAUGAAGCUCGAAACACGUCCACUCACAUAAAAAAAAAACGAGAAAACUGCUUCAAACGAGUAACAGAAGACAGAACAACUAAGAAGUAACUUUUAGGCUUUGUAGCAGACUUCACCAUCACAGACCCAUCCUUCACCGGCUUCUCCUCCUUCCUUUGCCUCCUCCCCAGCUGCUUUAUCGUCUUCUUCGUCUUCUUCUUCAUCCAGCUCGAUCUUAGUCGACUUCUCCAACUUCUUCAGAUGUUCGGUGGUAAAAGGAUAAGCAUCGGCCCCAUGCUCCGAUAUAAGAUUUCUUGCUUCUUUAGUCAGUGUCCGGCCCGUCGGGCCAAUGGCUAUGAGCGUGGGGAUCCCGUCAACCUUGAAUUUGCGAUUCAGGGAUUUCUUCCUCUCGUCGCCAAAGGGAAGCGCCAGCCACGGCAUCUGAGCAUAGUAAUUGUCGAAGGCAGCUUGGUCCUUAUCGCUGGAGAUGAAGAUCAGCUCAAAGGCAUUGUUUUUGGCCUUGAUCUUUUCAUAUGCCUCCGUGAGCACUGGCAGGAAAUCACGGCAAGGAGGGCACCAGUGUGCCGAGAAGUAAAGGAGGACAGUCUUCCCUACCAAGUCCAAUACUGGAAUCUGCAAUCCAAGUCAAGAAACGACCUUGAGUCGAUUAGAAAAGGCACGUGAAAAUGCAUACACGGACAUGAUUUUCCAGUUACAAACCGGGUUUCACCUUGUAUCACCUCGAGUAACACGAGGGAUGACGAAAUUAAGGACUAUAAAAAUUUCCAAGUCACUAGCUUCUUGGAGGAUAAACAAAUUUACCUUGGUUCCUUCCUUUCCAAUGACGAAAUCUCGAUCCCCUGAAACCAAGAUUGACUCCAAGGUCUGAGAUUCUUCCUUUUUCCUCUGUAUCUCUGCAAGCUCUGCAAACUUUUCUGGAGUGAAAGGGUAAGCUUCAACCCCAUGCUCUUCGACAGUUUCAGCAACAUUGGAAUGGAGAGUCUUCCCAUCAGGACCGAUUAUGACAAGAGUGGGUAGGGUAGAAAGCUCAAAGUACCUAACCAAUUUCUCACAUUUUUUGUCUUUCAAUGGUAAUGAAAGCCACGGCAUGCUUCCAAAGGCUUGGUUGAAUGAUUCUUCAUCAUCAUCUAGAGGUAUCUGAACGAUCUCAAAUCUCUCUCCUUUGGCCUUCAGCUUCUCAUGAACAUCCAGUAAAAUUGGCGUGAAAUCAAUGCAUGAUUUGUAAAUGGACAAUGAAAAAUAUAGACCCACGGUUUUCCCUUCAAGCUCAGCAACAGGAACCUAGUUUGACCACAUGACUAGAUUAGUAAAAGAGGAUGGAAAACCGAAUCAUGAGCAAACGCGACCAUCAGUUUCAACUGCAUCAAAGAUCUUUUUAGCUUACCUUCUUCCCAUCAGAUGAAACUACGAAGUCACGAGACCCAUCGACCAAAAUAGAGGUCACUGAUUGGUUUCUCUUAGCAGCUUCUUCCUGGUCUUUCAAUUCUUUGAUGCGUUCUGCAGUGAAAGGGUGACCUUCCACUCCAUACUCGCGAACAAUCUCCACCCCACUAUCCGUCAAGACUGUACCAGUGCCAUCCAGAAACACAAGGUGGGGUAUUCCCCUCACCUCAAACAAUUCAUCCAAGCUAUCACGCUUCUCCGAGUCGGAGAACGGAAUUGCAAGCCACGGCAUCUUGGAAAAGUAUCCACUGAAGGACUCUUCAUCCUCAUCUGCAGAGAUGAAAAUGAUCUCCAGAUCACCUUUUGGGGAAAGUUCAUUGUACACCUCCGCCAGAGUCGGGGUGAACCGCUGGCACGGACCACACCACGACGCGGAGAAGUAUAAGCCGAUCUUCUUCCCCUUCAAGCUAUCAACUUUAACCUGAUACAGGACAAAAAGAUUCCUAAUUUGAGUUCUUUCAUAACGGUAAUCAGCAAGCAAGGCACACUAAUGUUAAUUGGCCACCUCACAAAAUCCUUAAAUGGCUCAUGAUACACCCAAAUAACCAGAGAAGCACUUCAGUUAAGCGCUCCUCAUUAAUUCAAUCGCAAUUUCGUAGUCUCGUCGACCAAAAUAACUAAACCACACUGAAGACGCAAGCAUUCAUACUAAAUCGAAUCCAUAUAUACUGCGUCCACGUGACUCUAUGUAUAAAUCUUUCUUCAAAAAAUCAUAAAUCAAUUACCAAUGAUCCAGUUUCUGAAGAAAACAAAUGGAUAGAAGUAAUCUUGAACUAAACUCGCUUAUCUUGAACCAAACUCGCCAGCUUGGCCAUCCCAAACCAACGGCUUCGGAAUCCCGAACUCCCGGCAAAGAACAACCAGAAAGAACUUCGGAAUUCGAAGUCCAUAGGCGCAAGAACCCGCAUCUUCCCAAUCCGACAAGAAGAUAACCGCCCAAAAAGAAUCAGAUCAACAAUUUCUCAACCUCCAGCUAACUUCGUCUCUUCAAACAAACCCAUCACCACCAGAACAAGAACCUCUCGCGCGAAAAUGGGCACCUCGCAAAACGACCCCCGCGCCCCAAAGAACACGACCAGCUUCAACAAGGACGCCGACCCACGAUUCUUUUUUCCCUCCUUUUUCCCCCCGAAAGAGCAGAAGCAAGCAAAAAGGAAAAGAACCGAGCCUCACCCGAUCGCCGUUGUUCCGGACGAGGAAGUCCCUGUCCGGAGAAGACAGCAGGGACUGCACAUCGUGCGAAGCCACCGCGCCGCCUUCGACAACAUCCGCCAUCCUCGUCGCUCGAGCUCCUCUGCGUUCCGGGCGUCUGCUUGCUGAACUUUGUUCUCCUGAGAAUCCCCUCCAAUGGCGGGCGCCUGCUCCUCAGUAUUUAUACGCGACAUGAAGAAGCUUCUCCGGCACGCAGAUAAUUUUCUUGAUUUUUUUCUUUUUAUUAUUAAUGACCAUUGACUCCUUAGUGUUUUUUUUUUUUUCAACCUUUUUUUUAUUUAGAUUUUUCUUUUUUCGGAUGCUUCCUGGGACUUUCCGAACCGCAAGCAAGGCAUCUCGGGAAGUGGGGUCCAUACGUGGGAAUGUCGCGGGGGAUGGAUGCCUUCGCCACGUCAGCAGAUCGAUGCCUUCGUUUUUUUCUUAUUUUUGAUUUUUUUUUUCUUUCGCCAUUCCUUACUUCCUUUCUAAGAGUCCACGUGUCCAGCAUCCAAGGUCGAAGUUUCCCCAGAAUUUUUCUUCUCGCCCGGUCGAUUCCAUAAUAAUGGCAUAAGUAUAUAGAAAGUCAUAAAAUUUAUCAUGUGAGUAUAAUCUAGUCUUGAAAUUUUCGAAAAGUACAAUUAAGCUUUCGUCAGGAAAGUGUAUUUGAAUUAUAAAAUUUUCAAAAAGCACAAUCAGAUUGGUCCAAUCAAAUCUUUCCGACAAUUGUAUUUUUUAAAAAGUUUUAUGACUAAAUUAAACUUUCGUGAUAAAUUUUAAGAUUUGAUAACACUUUGUGGAAGUUUUAUUACUUGAUUGUACUCUCGUAAUGAAUUUUAGGAUUUCAUUACACUUUUUAAAAAAUUUAGAAUUUAAUUAUAUUUUCCUAACAAAUUUUAGAAUUUCCAAUACAUUUAUCCCUAUAAUAAAAGUUGAAACUUUAAGUAAUUUGAAAUGUUUUGUUUUAUUUCACAAAUUUGCGUUUUGCCUUUUCCGUUAGCACGUGGCCGUCAAUUGAAAAACGAAAGCGUGCAAUUGCUCAACUCGAGUAGAUAAGCCUGAGAGUGUCAAUUCGCUUUUGCCUUGCUUAGAGAACAUUAAAAAAAAUUUGGUGAAAAGUCGUCAAAAGAUAAUGUUAUUUAUUUCUUUUCACUAAUUUUUUUUUUUUUUUGGGCGAUAUUGAAAAGUAUUAAUGGCCAAGAAUGUGGUCGGAAAGUCAAAAUGGGACAAAUAAGAAAAGCACAAAAAGAAAGGUUGGAGAACGUCGGUUGUCUAGGCGAGGACGAAACGGAUGACGUCGUCAAAGGUCGGAUGGUGACGUGUGACGCGAUUGCUCCUCGUUGAGACGCGGCACGUACAAAAGGUAUGGAGAAUAUUCCAUAGUUGAUGCUUCUUUUUUUCUUGGGGUGUGAGUAAAAUACAUUAAUGCAAUUGCUUACAAGCACAGUUCUCUAACCUUGACAAAAGAAAUGGUAAUAUAAAUUUAGGAUCUGACUAAAUUUUUAAAAAUUUAACAUUUUAAAAGAAAAAAAAACCUUAAAAAAAUGCUUGAAAACUCUCAUAAUUAUAAAAAUUUAAAAUUCGUAUGUCUACUUUCCAUUUAAGCAGUUUUUUCACAACAGCUUCAAUUGUGAAAAUGAGUUAUGCAACUCUCGCAAAAAGAUAAGUAAAUAUAUCACAAUCAUAGUUAUUUGCAACUUACUAUAACUUUUUAAUAAGCCGCUUCACUCAAUAUUAAGAUCUAUAGUUUUACAAAAAGAAUCCGUGCCACAAAAAAUUUUAGAGUAAUAUAUUCAUGAUUUAUUAUCUCAAAAUAAUUUUUAUACUGCCAAAGAAAAGGGUAAUGCUUUUUUUACUCCUCGUUUGGGUUGGACACUUUUUUUUUUAUUGUUUGACUAUACUAUCCGUUGUGAAGCCCACCACUUCUUAUACAACUUUACAAAAGUGAUAUUAUUAUUAUUAUUAUUUGGUAAUGCUUUGUAUUUUGUUUCUUCUUUUUUUUUUUUUUUCUGGGCAAGUCCCACUUUCCUCAUUCUUCUUUCUUUCUUUCUUUCCAUACCUUUAACGUCUUAGUUCUCUAUUCUUGCAAAUCGUCUUUCUAUUUUCUCUUUUGUAGGCCAUUGUCUUCUUUCAACGCCUCUAAUUCCUUCUUUAUCUUCUCUCAAAAAUCUCUCAUGCAAUUGCAAUCUCCAAAAAAACUACUUACUUCAAUACCCAGACAGAUAUUGAAAACUGAAUCAAAUUAAAUUAUUAAUUCAAAUCUCAAUUCUUAUUACCUAAAAGAACACAACUCACCUAUUGCCCUCAAUUUUAUGCCUACAUAUGGUGGAGACACUAUAAUUCAAAUCUCAAUUUUCUUUCUUGACGCCUUUUCUUUCUCUAGACACUAACAUGUACAAAAAGAAGAGAAAAAUAUACAAAAAAAGGAAAAGAGAGAAGCAAUUCUUUUCAAUAUUACCUUUCAUGGUGCAAUAAGAUCGUGUGUACGGUGGAGAAAAAGAGCUUGUUGGAGUGGUCAUUGGUGAACCCAAUGUCGGCGCUAGUGAAAGUGUAAAGGACAACGAGCUUGUCAUCAUAGAUUGAAAAACAGAGGACGAUGGGGUUCAUGCAAGAAGACAAAGAAGGAACAGCGGGAGGCGUAAAAAGAAAAAAAUGACCAACGAGAGAGGAAACAAAGAGACGAUUUAUAAAAGCGGAUACUGAGAUGUCAAAUGCAUGAAGAAAAGAAGAAGAAGGAAAAUGGGACUUGCAAGAAAAAAAGAAGAAGAAACAAAACUAAAAAUAUUUACCAAAUAAUAGAAAAAGAUCGCUAUUAUAAAGUUGUAUUAGAACUAAUUCUCAUAAGGGAUGGUAUGGUCAAAACACACACAAAAAUGAAGUGUUUAAACUAAAAGAAGAGUGGAAAAAGCAUGGCCUCAGAAAAAAUUCACAUCACUAAAAUCUCACCUCGUAAAACAUGCUAAAAUUUGUUAAUUUUACACAAAAGAUCCCUUAUGUUUCAAAAAUAUGUCAAAAUCCUUAAUUUUUCCUUGAGCCUUUGGCAAUUUAAGAUGGAAGGAGGGAGGAGGAUCAUAUUUCGUUCCUAAUUUCUACUCUCAAUUCAUUUUCUUUCGAUCACACUUCCCCAAAAUAAUAUCAUUGAAAAAACUCAUUUAUAUUAAAUCAUCAAGUUAGAUUCAUAUUGUAUCCCGAUCAUCUUAAUUAUUUAUUAUGCGUGUUUCAACGUCAGCAAUUUAAUGGGAAUAUUAAACAGAAGUUAACGGAUGAUAAAUUUGUCACGAUUACAUUAAUUUCAAAUUUUUCAUAAUGUGAAAAUCAAAUUUAAGAACAGUAAUAUGGACAGGAAAUUUUUAAUGGUAUUGAUCCGCACGACAUAUCACAUCAUGCCACCUCAACAUUCGGUUCCAAACUGGCUUUUCAAAAAUUUCGAAAAGACCGAGAAAGUCUAGGCCAAAGUCUUCGCGAAUUAAUAAUUGCCGACAGUGCUGAUCCAGGGCAGGUCGUCCUGGGAAGAUCAGAAUAUGAAACCUCAGUAGUGCACAGACAUUGAGAAAAAAACCAAGAAUAUAAUCAUCAUUGUCUUUUUCUUGCGUUUGUUCGGAUUCCCCACUCCAAAGCCACGUGUCCUUUAUUUUAUUUUUUCUUUUUUCCUAUUUUUUUCUUUGCAUUUGCUUCGAAUAUCACUUUGAUAUGAAUGUCGCCUUUAACUUUUUCUCUUUGCUCGUUAAAUCUAAGUACAAAAUAAUUGCUAUUUAUAGUCACCUGCAACUUUUUAAAAUUUUUCUCAUUCGAAUUUUCUUUUUUAAUUCAAAGAGUGUUCAAGAAGAGCUUUUUGCUUCACUUAAAUCCAUCGACGAAGUGGAAUAAAUUCAUUUAUAGUCCGAUAAGCCCUCAGUAUAUCUAAACUUUACCCAAUUUUCUAAUGAAUUUUUAAAAACUCAGUUUCCUUAAAAAUCAUAAACAUUAAGGGUAUGUUCGUUCAUGAUAAAGGAAAAUAUUUUCUAUAAAAUAACUUUCGAGUUUUUAUUUGUUUAGUGCUUUAUAGAAAUUGAUUUUUCUCUUGUUAGAAUAAGAGGCCGUUUUUCUUCCAAUCCAAGCAUGGUGAUGCUUUUGAUAAAUUAAUUAGUUUUCUGUUAUCCAAAUACCACAAAGUCUGAUAAUAAUAUUUAUAAAAAAAUGAUUUUUUUUCAAGCAAACAAUCCUAAGGUCUGUCCCAAUUCUACUCCGAAUCUUUUUUUUUUCAAAGAAAAAUUAUCAACUUUCACUUAAGUCCCCAAUUAACCCUCUGUCCAAAUGUCACUCAUUUUUUCUUUAAAAUCAUCAACAUCAUGAGGCUACUAUUAUUUUAUAUGAAAGUGAGGGUGUUGAUAAAGAUGUAGAUUUUGAUAAUGAAGAUUGAAAUGACCUUGAUGUUGAUAAUAUCAAAGAAACUAGUAGCAAUUAUUUUAUGUCUAGGUAGAUUUAGGACUAAAGUGAAAGUUAGUAAAAUAUCUUUAGACAAAGGAAGUUCGAGACAAAAUUGAGAUUAAAUCUAAAGUUUGAGAGUUUUUAAGGGUAUUAGGACAAUAUCUGGAGGGUCAGCUCACUGAUUUUUUAAGUCCCAUAAUCACUUACCCCGCCACAUCUCGUCAAACUACAUUUUGGAGAAGCUCGAAUUGCAAAAUAACUAAAAGGCCCAACUAUCAAACAAAGCAAAUUAGGUUUCAACAUCUUGUUUUGUUUAUUGAACUGGGGCUAUUGUUAGCUAAUUUAUUGUGUCAUGAAACAAUUUUUUUUUAAUCCUUUUCCCUUUAAUGGAAUUAAGCACCGUAAUCAAUGAAUAGACGGAGCAACCUUCUUAAACUUAAAAACACAUAAAAUAAGGAUCACAAGGGGACAUAAAUAAUUUAUGUUAUAUAUUCCCACUUCUAAAAAGAUGAUCUCAAACAAAUGAAAUGACAUGUCAAUAGUUGUAUGUGUUAAAAUAUUUAUAUAUCAAAUCACGUUUUCAUCGAAUAAUUUAAUUUUCUAAAAUUAUUGGUACAAAACCUAUUCAUGAUAUCAAAGUAGAAGGUCUUGUAUUUAAAUAUUUACUUGGUCCAAAAUCCCACCGUGCGCUUAUUAUCCUUCUUCAGCUUUGCUGAUUUUUAUUUAUUUUUAACAAUUUAACCAUGACUUUCUAAUUUACAUAGAUCAAUAUAUUUUUAUUUGAAAUUUCUUAUAUAAUUGUUUCAACCCUAACAACAAAAUGUUCUUGUCUAAAAUCAAUAUAAAUAUAGCGUUAAUAAGGUUAUAAUAUUUUACCCCAAAAAAAAAAAAGUAAGCACACUAGAAGUCCUAAAAUUUAUUGCAAAAGCGCAAUUGAAUUCUAAAAUUUUUAGUGCAAUCAAGUCCCUUGGUUAAUUUUGUCUAACUUAGCUAAUGGAAAAUGUUAGCAUAGCAUUUUUACUAUUUUUUUCUCUCCUACAUGGAGCUAACGUAGUCAAAACAAAAAUGAUAAAGCUAAAAAGGUGUUAUUUUUAUCCAAAUUUGAUUUCUUAAUUUAAAUGUUAUUUAAGAUUUCAAGUGCACUUACCGUACAAAGAAAAGUAAAGCCUUACGCAUGACAAUUUUUAAAAUUGUGAUGGAGCUAUGUCUUCAAAAGGAUAAACUUCAACCACUGGUUCAUUUUCUUGAUUAUGAUUCCGCCACAGUAAAUCGCAUGGGACUCCAAACAUUUCUCGACAUUCUAGACUCGAUCAAAAUCUAUAGAUUUAGGUUUAGUCUUGAAUCGCAGUUAAUGCCGACAUUUCUUUGUCCUUACCAAAGAAAGAGAAAAAGAAGUGUGGAAAUGUUGAAAUUGAAGUCUUUGAAUGUACCAAGUUCCAUUUUCUGCUAAAGAAGGAAGGAACAUUCGAAGUCAAAUGUACUGGUUCAAUCUGCAAAUUUUACCUCUUCGACGAAGUGGAAGAUAUAUGAACAUCAAGUCUCAUGCUCUUGACAUUUACAUUUGAGUUUGAUAUAAGGGGAAGUUGAAUUAAUCCAUCUUCUUUCCCCAAGAACUAGACAUUGCUCACAGGUGCUAUUUCGUGAACGAGAGCUGCACAAUUCGGCCUAGAAAAGCCGACAGUUCUUGCAAACCGAACUGCUUCUAUAAGCAUGUAGUAUCACUAUUGAGUAUCAGCAAGGAACUACUUUUGCAGCACUUCUUCUGUCUUGUUUCUUACGAUCGCUCUUCCUUAAGAAGACUAGCAAUAUGCAUUCCGGGAGCAUGGGAUCAUCAAGCAAGACUUUGGAGAAUUAAUGCGGGAUGAUUAACUUUUCAUUGCCACAAAUUAUAUCAGCAUAUCCAGAUGUAGAGUCACCAUCUGCUGAUGUAACGGAGGACCUAUUACCAUAACCAUAAACUGAACAAGAACUAACCACUAGGACUUGAGGAAAGAUCCAUACAAAGUGUAUUGAUUAAACAUGUUCUGUCAAGUCCAGUGUGCAUGCAAAUCUCGAAGCUGCAUCAUCAAAAGGAGAGACGGAGACACUUGCAUGACAAACGGACAAUUCAAGCCUACCACUCUGUUUGGCACACGGCUAGUCGACGAUGAACAUUAUAUCACGACAGCAAAUUGUCAAAGUCAUAAUACACGCCAUAUAUCUCACAUACAAACCCUUUGCAGAUCAAGCUCGGAAACAUCCACCCAGAAAAAAAGAAGAAAAAAGAACUGCUUCAAAGAAGUCAUAUAUAAAGAAACUACAAGACAGUAACUUCUAGGCCUUAUAACAGACCUCACCAUCACAGAUUCAUCCCUCUUUGGCAUCUCCUCCUUCCUCUGCUUCCUCCCCAGCUGCUUCAGCAUCUUCAUCUAACUCGUUUUUAGUCGUUUUCUCUUCUUUAACAGCGCAUUUUGGGUGGAGAUCAAAGUCACACUCCUCGCAAUAAUACGACCACCCCUCCCCUGCCUUACCGCAGCCAUCACAAUUGUACCUUCUCCUCUGAGCAGGAACGAGCUCGUGCUUUUCAUGCAAAGGAUGCUUCAACUUCUCUGGCCAGCCUUUUAUACUUUCCUUGAACUUUUCCUCAAACUUCUUGAGAUGUUCGGCAGUAAAAGGAUAAGCAUCAGCCCCGUGGUCCAUUAUAAGAUCCCUUGCUUUUUUACUCACCGUCCGGCCCGUUGGGCCUAUGGCUACAAGCAUGGGGAUCCCCUUGACCUUGAAUCUGCGACUCAGGAAUUUCUUCCUCUCAUCACCAAAGGGAAGCGCCAGCCAUGGCAUCUGAGCAAAAUAAUCGUCGAAGGCAGUUUGGUCCUUGUCGCUGGAGAUGAAGAUCACCUCAAAGGCAUCGUCUGUGGCCUUGAUCUUUUCGUAUGCCUCCGAAAGCACCGGCAGGAAUGCUCGGCAAGGAGGGCACCAGUGUGCCGAGAAGUAAAGGAGGAUAGUCUUCCCUACCAAGUCCGAUACUGGAAUCUGCAAUCAAAGUUAAGAAACGACCUUUUAGACGAACCACCAAUCAAUGGAGAAGGCAUGUGAAAACUGCAUACAUGGAAAGAAUUUUCCUAGUUAUGGACCUGGUUUCAAUCCUUUCCUCAGAUCAAGUAACCGAGGGACAACAAUAUUUAGGACCUCAUUGUAGACAUUAAAAAUUUCCCCAGUCAUUAGCUUCUAGGGGAAAAAACAAAUUUACCUUGGUUCCAUCCUUUCCAAUGACGAAAUCCAGAUCCCCUGAAACCAAGAUCGACUCCAAGGUCUGAGAUUCUUCCCUUUUCUUCUCUAUCUCUGCAAGCUCUGCAAACUUUUCUGGAGUGAAGGGAUAAGCUGUGAUGCCAUGCUCUUCGACAGUUUCGGCAACGUUGGCAUGGACAGUCUUCCCAUCCUGACCGAUAAUGACCAGAGUGGGUAGGGUCGACAGCUUAAAGUACCUCACCAACUUCUCGCAUUUCUUGUCUUUGAAUGGUAAUGAAAGCCAUGGCAUGCUGCCAAAGGAUUGGUUGAAUGAUGCUUCAUCAUCAUCGAGAGGUAUCUGAACGAUCUCAAAACUCUCUCCUCUGGCCUUCAAUUUCUCAUAAACCUCCAGUAACUUAGGCGUGAAAUCGACGCAUGCCCUGUGCACGGACAACGAGAAGUACAGACCCACUGUUUUCCCUUCAAGCUCAGUAACAGGAACCUACUUUGGCCACAAAACUAUUAGUAAAAGGAGGAUGGAAAACCGAAUCAUAAGCACAUGCGACCAUCAGUUUCAAAUGCAUCGAAGAUCUUUUUUAGGUUUACCUGAUUCCGAUUGGACGAAACUACGAAGUUACGAGAUCCAUGGACCAAAAGAGAGGUCAAUGAUUGAUUUAUCCUGGCAGCUUCUUCCUGGUCUUUCAACUCUUUGAUACGUUCUGGAGUGAAAGGGUGACCUUCCACUCCAUACUCACGGACAAUCGCAACUCCGCUAUCUGUUAAGACCGUACCUGUGCCAUCGAGAAUGACAAGGUGGGGUAUCCCCCUCACCUUAAACAAUUCAUCCAAGCUAUUGCGCUUGUCCAAGUCGGAAAACGGGAUUGCAAGCCACGGCAUCUUGGAAAAGUAUCCACUGAAGGACCCUUCAUCCUUAUCUGCAGAGAUAAAAAUGAUCUCCAGAUCACCUUUUGGGGAAAGUUCAUCGUACACCUCCGCCAGAAUCGGGGUGAACCGGUGGCACGGACCGCACCACGAUGCAGAGAAGUACAAGCCAAGCUUCUUCCCCUUCAAGCUAUCGACCUUAACCUGAUAUAGAACAAAAAGAUUCCUAAUUUUAGUUCUUUCAUACGGUAAUCAGCGAGCAAGGCACACUAGAUCACUUGACCACCACACAAAAAUCCUGAAAGUGCUCAAGAUACACAUCCAAAUGCCAACUGCAGAAGCACUUCCCUUAAGCACUGCUCAUUAAAUAGUUAGCAAAUCAGCAGUCUUCUCCACCAAAACAAGUAUACCACACAGAAGGUGUGAGCAUUUACACUAAAGAGCAUUACUUCAUAGCAAUAUCGGAUCCAUAUACACUGCUCCCACCUGAUCCAACUCCAAGUAACAUGUCUUUCUCUAAAAAGUAAUGCAUCAACUACCGAUCAUCCAGUUUCUGAAGGAAACAAAUGGACAGCACUCGAAAAUGAUGAUCCUAGAUCAGACCAACUUUAGCUUCUCUUGAACUAAAUUUAAAAACCGAUCAGCGAAACAACCCCACACGAAGACGAAGGCCACGAGAACUUCGACAAGGACGCCCACCCAUAAUUCUUUUUCUUUCACCUCAUCCAGCGAAAGAGCAAGAGUGAAAGAAGAGAACUGAGUUUCACCUGAUCGCCGUUGUUCCGGAUGAGGAAGUCCCUGUCCGGAGAAGACAGGAGGGACUGAACAUCGUGAGAAGAAGCCCCGCCUUCGACAACGUCCGCCAUCCUGGUCGCGUUCGUUCCUUGUGUCCUGUUCUCGUGUCUCUGCAGAGAGUCUGCCUGAGAAUCCUCCUAUGGCGGGCUCCUGCUGCUCUGUUUAUAUACAUAAAGAAAAUCCCGUGCAAGCACAUAUAUUAUUUAUUUUUAUUAAUAUUAUUAUUACGAUUAUUUGCUCUUUAAUUUUCCCUUUUUCUAUAUGUAUAAAUAUAUAUAUAUAUAUAUUAUUUUUUUUUCGGUUUCUGGAUGCUUCCUUGGACUUUUGGGGACGGCAAGGACGUCAAGGACGGUAGGAAACACGUGGACACGCAUGAUAAAUCUCAGUCUCCAUUUUCUUAUUUUGUAUAUAUGUUUUAAUUUACUACCUUUUACCUUUCCUUGCUUCCUACGCUUCCGGUAAGCGGUGUGUUUGGUAAUCAUUCUGUUUCGAGUAAUACUUUUUUAUGAGAAAUGAUUUUUUUUUCUAUUUCUGUUAUUGGGAAUAAUUUUUGAACAAAAAAAUGUAUUUAGUAACUUACCAAAUAUUAUAUUCUCGGGAUAAAAAUACGUUUGGUAAAAUUCUUAGAUUUUUUUUAUUUCUUUUAUUUUUUUAAUUAUUUUACUAUUUAUUCUUAUUUUUUCCUUUUUCUUUUUUCUUUUUCUCUUUGGUUGGUCACUGGUGACUGCCGUGGUCGGCGACGUCUGGCGUGCUUGCCAAAGUCUCGCUAGGCCAAGGUGAGGCUCGACGAGGCUCGGCCUCACCUAAGCGGUGCAAGGGUUGGCCUCGUGUCAGCAAGGGAGGCUGAGCCUCGUCGUGGCUUGGCGUCUUCGAGAGUUAGCGACGCUCCGGCAAGGUCAUCGGCCCUCGUCUGGCCGGUUAGGCCGGCGACUGGCAAAAUGAAGAAGAAGAAGAAAAUAAAGAGAAGAAGAAAAUAGAAGAAAAAAGAAGAGAGAAAAAUUGAUUCUAGAAAUUGUUUUGAAAAAAGUAAAUCACUUGAAAAAUAUUUUCUUAAAAAUAAUCACUUGUAUCGCUUACAAUAAUGAAUAAGUGAAAAAAUAUCUUUAUUGUCCAUGAAAUUGUUUAUUUAUAAAUUAUUAUCGAUUUAACUAAUAAUUUUAAGAGAUAUAAGUGAUGAUUUUUAGGAACAUAUUUUCUAAAUCAUUUAUUUUUAGCAAAAUAAACUGAAUUUUAGAUUGCAUCUUAUUAGUUAUAGAAUUUAACUCAUGACCCAAAAUAAAAGAAAACUCAUGAAUAAUCCUAUUUCAUACGGUUUAAUAUUCAUCAUGCAUGCCGUCUAGCGCUUAGGGACGCGCAGGAAAGUUUGGGAUGGCUGGGACACGUCAGCAAGUCGGCUUUAUCUUCUCAUUUUAUUUGUUAUUUGACCCCUUGACCGUUGCUUGCUUCCUCCACAAGAAGUUCAUCUCGAAAAAUUAAAGCUUGACAAAAUUUCGUUUUUUUUACCCUCUCAAAUUUUUAUAUAAGUUAGAUUUUAAAAGCUUGACAAAAUUUCCUCUUUUUACCCUCUCAAUUUUUAUAUAAUUAGAUUUUAAAUUCUUUUGAGAGCUAAAUUGCAUUUUUGCCUUUUUAUUCGCGCAUGGGUUGGCGUUAUGUGAGAAAUUAAAGGUAUGAUUGCUCAGGUCAAUUUUUAAUUAUAAUUUAGAUUUUUAAGUUUUGAAGAAUUUCUUUCUUAAUUUUUUAAGAAUUUCAGAUUUACCCCUUAAAUUUUUGUUGGUUGCCAAACAAAAAAUAAAGUUGAUGGGCCUAAUAAUAAAAUAGGGUAUAAAAUGGUAAAUCUAUCGCUACGAAUCUAUCUAAUGAAGAACUAAUUCCCUAUAAAAAAAAAAAAAAUUCUCAACUUUAGGUCUAGUUCCAAUUCUCUCUUAAUUUUUUAUCUAGAAAAAAAUCUAAAACUUUAGAUCCAGUCCAAAUUUGUCCCCAACUUUUAUUUGACUUAAAAAACUCAACUUUAAAUUCAAUCUUAAAUCUAUUUCAAACUUUUUAUCUUUAUCUAAGAGAAAAAUCAUCAAUUUUGACUUUAGUUUCAAAUUUGCCUCCAUUAGUCCUCUAUUCAAAAAUCAUUGUUAGUUGUCCGUAAUUUUCAUAUUCUAUAAUAGUUUUAUUUUGGAGAUAACUUUUCACGUCACCUUCCUAACGUGGAUCUCUUAUCAAUGUGUAAAUGCCAUAUUAAGUAGGGAUUACACCACGAGCCUAGAUUUGAAAAUAAAUUGAAAGCUGGUGAUUUUUUAGACAAAACAAAAUUCAGGUUUUGGGGUAUUUUCUUUAAAAAAAAAAAAAUAGAGGCAAAUUCGGGACUGAAUCUAAAGUUCGGGUUUUUUUUUUAGACAAAAAAAAUUGGAACAAAAUUACGAUUAGACUUAAAGUUGGAAAUGUUUUAGGAAAUUAGAUAAUUUAAUCAAGAGAAAAAUCAUAGACAAGAAAAAGAUAAAUACGAAUUCGUUGAGUUGAUAGGGAUAACUGAAGAAAAUAAUGCAAUUGAAAAAUGUAAAUUCCAUGAUAUAAGAAGUUGGCAAAAAUUAGGAUGAUAAGGCUGACUUGAAAAGGUAAGGAUAAUUUCUUUGCUUCGUCACGCUAACCAACCCAAACUUGACCACCAAGGAUAAUUCACUUUCCUUUGUUCUCUCGAGGCUCCAUGGAGCUCCAUUAUAAGCUAUUUUACCCCUUUCUUCUUCUUCUUCUUCUUCUUCUUUUUUUGAUCUUUCUAAACUUUACUAAUUCACAAUUAUUUAGCAUAUAUGAUCCACGAAGACUGUGAUUAACAACAAUAAAUAGCAACAAAACAGCCGCAUCAAAUAGAUGAAAAAUCUCGUAGCUUUUUCUUAAGCGAAACCUAUCAUUUUUCAAUCCUCUUUGAGCUUCAAUACCCAAAAGCAUCAAUUACAUUGUAAUGUUUAUAGCGGAGAAAUUACUAAAUCAAUCAUAAAUUUAUAAUACGGAUGUAAAUUUCAUCAUUAAUUUUUUCAUUUCUCAAGCCACUUCAAAUGAUAAUUCUAAAAGUUGAAAAUUCUACAAAAAUCCGAAUAGGAGGAUGAGACCGAUUUGCAGGGAGGGUGAAAAGGGGGGGAAUUAAAAAGUAUUAUGCGAAACUUGGUGACCAAGGAGGUGUUAUCCUUAGUCAAAAAGGAGAUAAAGAAGGAAGAACGUGAAGGAGGGGUUGGAAAAUGACCGUGCGCCUGACGUGUCUGCGCUGUUGGUCACAAGGACGUGUUCUUGCUAGUCAACAUCAAGGUGAUUGUCGUACAAAAAGCAAGGGGGGAUUCCAUGCCGGUGUUUCUUUUUCUUGGAAAAUUGGUGUUCGAUCUCAUCCUUAUUGGUAUUCACACUCUUUUGGUCAAGCUCCUAAGCAGGAACGAGGACAAAAAGCAACAUGAAAUUGGAGAUCAAACUAAAUUUUGAAGAAGGGAGGAGGAAAACUAGCAUUAUAAACCGAAAUCCAUAUGCCUAACUAGCAUUCGGAACAGAUUUCUGAACAUCUUCAACAGGUCCUCUCCUUCCUCUUUGUUUGUUUGUUUUGUUUUUGCUAAGAAAGUAAGUAAAUAGAUUAUUAGAAUGAAAAAAAAAUAAUAUAUGGGGUGCAUACUCGAGAGACUUGGUAAAAAAACUAUAAAAUAAUUAAAUAAUGAAAAUAAUUUUAAAAAAAAUGUAUAUAUACUUAUCAAGUUCAAUUGAGAAUUGGAUUGGUACUCACCAAUUUCAUUAGAUUGAAAUCAGGAUUUGGAUCAGUCCUCAUGGGAACCGCCAAUUUUGUACUAGUUCAGCCUGAUUUUGUGCCGUUUAGAUGAUUUCCGAUUUCUUAACACACCUCUAAUUGUGACUUUUAUAAAGUAUAUUGUAAAUACCUCACAGUUAUGGCUACUUUAAAAUUUCAGCACCCUUUGAUGACUUUCUAGGAAGCCACCGCAGCCAACAUUGAAGUGCUACAAUUUAUAAAAUAUGUAUUUCAUAACCACAAAAAGCCACGUCAUCUUAUACAUUUUUACCAAACUGGCUCUACUAAUUUUGAAAGGGAAAGACCAAGAACAAAGAGUCAACGUCAAGUCUUCGGGCAUUAAUUAUUGCCGACGAUACCUAAUCCACGACGGGUGGUCCUGGUCAAGCAGGCUAGAAAAACUCACUCUUUGCACGGAUAUCGUGAAAAACAGAAUAUAACACGUGUUUUUCAUUUUUAUCUUUUGUACAAUUUAUUUUCGAUUUGCUCUUAAUCCGACUUUUAUAUGGAUAUUUCCUUUUUACUUUCUCUUGUUCAUUAAAUUUUUGCAUCGAGUACAUAAAUACUGAUGCGUACCUGUAUUUUUCAAUCUUUUUUCAUUUCAAAUUCUUUUCAUUUACCUUGCUUGAAAUUUUUUUUGCAACUUUACAGUGACUUUCUACAUUUAUAUAUGUUAAUAUUUUUAUUUAGACUCUUUUAUAUUGUUGCAUCGAUUUCACUGGCAAAUUAUUUUGGUUAUGUCCUUACUUUUGUUAUCAACGUAAGUACAUUGUCAAUAAGUAUGAUAUACAAAAAGGGGGGAAAAGAAAUGGUGAACUCGUACCGACUCAGGAUUGGAAGGAAAAAAUACACUUAUCGAAGCUAAAUCGCCUGGUGCCAAUCGUGACCACUAGCUCAUACAGCCAGCUGCAUUGUCUAUUUUCGACAGCCGUGAAGCAACUUUUUAUGAGAGCAUCUUAAUCUCUCUUUCUGCUGGCAACCCACUUCAUCAAAUACUUUACAUGGCCAGCCCGACCACAUUUUUUCCCAUUACUUUCCUCACUGGCAAUGAGUUGAACUGAAUGAGUCUGGAAACGUCAAAGGUUUUGGUGGAAUGCUAGACUGCGUAUCGGAGGACAGUGUUGAACUGGAGGAAGUGCCUAAGGCUUGAGGAAGGCUCGUGUGGAGGUUGAUACCAGAGCUUUCUUCUUCUCCAUGGCUAGUUGGUUCCCAUUGCUCCACGAGGGGAUGCAAAAUAUUGACAAUGUGGCCCAUGUCCGGUCUCUGGAACGGUUCCUCAGCAGUGCAAUGACGAGCCAGCUCAGCAACUUUGAUUAUACUCUCUAAGGUUUCUUCAUCGGGGUCAAGAGUGUGGUCGAUAGCUUUCAGGAUGUUUUCCUUAUCGAUCAGAACUCUACGGAACCAAGUGACCAAGUGCGCCCUCUCAUCUGGCAUGGUGUUGUCUAAUGCUUUUCUACCGGUAAUGAUCUCCAUCAAGACAGCACCAAAUGCGUAAACGUCCACCUUUGUAGUUACCCUUCCAGUGGCUGUACGGACAGAAAAAGACCCAUACAAAGUUCAAUGCAAUUUCAUCGAUAAGGAAAAGAAAAGCCUCUGCUCAGAUUUCAUGUUAAGAGAAGCUAAAAGCGCCCCAAGAAUGGGUAACAUAAAGAAGUCACCCUUGGUUUCUAAUCAACAAUUUGUAGUCAGGUGAUUUCACUAUCCCCCUAAUGUGGAUCAGAGCAAUUGAAUUGACUUAGAUAUUUUAACAGCAAUCGUGCACAUUUGAGUUAAUUAAUGCGUGCUGAUCAAUGAGGUGAAAACAUAGAUAUAAAGUCCACUAGUUCGUCUGCAGGACUCCUAUCCAUUAUUACUACUGAAAGAUAUCACACUUAUGUAAUCUCGAUGAAAGAAACAAUAGAGAUCAAUUUACCUAAUGCAUAUUCAGGAGCUAAAUACCCAAAAGUUCCAGCCAACUGUGUCUGCAUGGAAUACUUCCCAUCAGGAACAUUUUUAACCAAACCAAAGUCAGCAACUUUGGCUCUCAUGUCAUCUUCCAGCAGUAUGUUUACUGGCUUCAAAUCCCUAUGGAUAAAUUUUUGUUGGGCUAAACUGUGCAGGUAUUCCACUCCUCUAGCAACAUCCAAAGCAAUGGUCACCCUUUGCUUCCAAGUCAGAGGUGCAUACCCCUUCUCUUGCCACUCGAACAGAUGUUGCGCGAGAGUCCCUUGUGGCAUAUAUUCAUACACUAAAAGCCUCUCAUCACCUUUGAUACAAUACCCUAAAAGCAUGACUAAAUGCCUAUGCCUCACUUUUGUAAGUACUGCAAUCUCAGCUUGGAAUCCCUUCAUUCCCUUCGUGCCCAUUGCCCCAGAUUCCAUUCUUUUAACAGCAAUUUUGGUGCCAUCAUGCAACUCCCCUUUGUAAACAACACCAAAACCACCUCUUCCUAAAAUGUUCUCUUCACUAAAAUUACAAGUCGCUUGUCUAAGGACUUCAAUUGAAAUUUUAACAUUUCCUCCUUUAAGAACGGGAAAAUCACUAUGGUCCCCACUGCUUUGGCUAUGCAAUUCACUUGGAAGCCCACCAUAACCAUUCAUACCAUUCCCGGCCCCAUUCUUAGCUACUUCCAUCCCAAUUUCCGGAUUGUCUACACUAUUAAAUUUCCUGUGUCGUCGGAUGAUGUAACGGAAUUUGUACAAGACAAGCAACACCACCACGAUGAAAAUAAGGACACCUACGACAACAGCAGCAAUUACACCAUCUGAAAGUGAAGAACCAUUUGACGAUCCAGGUGAGCCACCAUCAGUCGAAUUCGUCCCUGAACCACCGCUGCCUCAGCCACCAGUGUCCGUUUUACCAAUUAAUGGAUUACCAAUAGUAGUCAAUUUCACUGAGGCUGGGAAAACCGGUAUCGACCCAUUGAGAUUAUUGUUCGACACAUCAAGAACUUGAAGCUGAGUCAGCGUAGUCAAGCUUUCCGGAAUAGAGCCAGUAAGAUUAUUAUCGUUCAACAGCAGCGUGCGGAGCAAGGUGAGAUUCGCAAAUGCGGGCGAGAUGGUCCCACUAAACCCCCGCUUCGAGAAAAUAACAGAGGUCACAUUCUUCCCCUGGCAAGAAAUGGCACUCUAGCUGCCGUUGCAAGCAUCAUUCCCAGUCCAAGAAUCCGCCGGCGUGAUCGGAUACCCCAACGUACUAGCCACCUCAAGCAACGUAGUAACCUGUGGGUCGCAAGGGCCCGGCGCACUGUUGCAAAAGCUAUUGGUACCCCCGUAGGUAACGCUAAUUCCACUGCUAUUACUAGGGACGGGACCCUGCAACUUAUUGUUAUCCAAGGACACAUUCUUCAAGCCGGGGAGUGCCAACAGCGAGGCGGGCACAAGCCCAGUGAACUGGUUGUAGCUAAGCUGGAGAUCGAGCAAAUUAGUGCAUUGCGAGAGAUCGGGGAUCGGACCUGUGAACUGGUUGUUCUGGAGCCAGACCCGGCUCAGCUGGGUCAUCCCGGCCAACACGCUGAUGCCGCCGGAAAGCCCCAUCGCCUGGUUGUUGAUCCAGAGGUUCUGGAUCGAUGAAGUGCCGAAGGAGGAGGGGAGGGGCCCGGUGAGGUUGUUGUAGGAGAGACUCAGACUCAUCAGGCUAGGGAGGGUUCCGAGGAAGUCAGGGAUCGUGCCGGUGAUGUUGGUGUUGUCGGCGUAGAGGACAGUCAGGGACGUCGAGGCGUUGAGCUCCGCCGGGAUCUGCCAGGAGGGGAGGUCAUGAUUUUCGCUGAGGCUGAGGGUCUGGAGGCUGGUGAGGCCCUGGAAGGCGCCGGAGGUGAUGGAGGUGAAGUUGUUGCCGUCGAGGUAGAUGGACUGGAGGGAGACGAGGCCGGCGAAGGAAGGGACGGCGCCGGAGAGGGAGUUGCUCUGGAGGGAGAGGCUCUGGAGCUGGGAGAGGGAGGAAAGAUCCGAGGGGAGGGCGCCGGAGAGGGAGGAGGAAGAGAGGUUUAUGACGGUGACCCGGGAGGAGGAGUCGCAGCUGACGCCUGUCCACUUGCAGUAGGUCUGGCCCGAGGACCAGCCCGACGGCUUGAGGGCGGCGAGGAUCUCGGCCAUGACGGCGGAGUCGUCGGCGGAGACGGCGGAGGCGGCGAGGAAGAGGAGGAGGAGGAGGAGGAGGAAGGGGGCCGGAGAGCGGAGGCUCCCUGCGGCCAUUGUCGACGGCGUUGCUGUGGGUCGAGAGAGAGAAAGGCGUAAGCAGAGGGGGUGGGAUGCGCGGAGAAGGAAACAGAGGAAGUCGCGGUCGUUCUCUGUUUGUUCUCCUACGAGGCGAGAGAGAGAGAAAAACCCAGCAAAUUCAAGUGUCGAGAAGACUUUGCGGGAGUGUUACGUAUUUACUGAGGAGCAGGUCUUAUGAACAAGAGAAGGACGCGAGGGAGAGCGGCAUCACCCGGGAAAAUGGGGUCCAACAAUGUAGGAAACACGUGGACGCAUCGUACACGUCAGCAAAUCUCAGUCUCCAAUUUUCUUAUUAUAUAUAUAUUUUUUCGGUAAUUGAUAUAUAUUUUUUAAUUUACCCCGCUUUUACCAUUCCUUGCUCCCUACUCCCCCGAGAAGCCGCAUCUUUACCCUCCGAUGCUUGAAGUACUCAAAAAGAAUUUUGAUUUCAACCUUCUCAAUAUUAUAUUAUAACAAGUUAUGUAUUAUUUUUUUUUCAAAACAGUAUUUUAUUGAUGAGCUUGAGAAUUUUGCCUUUUUUGUAGGCACCCUUGCCUCUCUCCCUCCCAUUAAAUUUGAGAAAUUGGGGAAAUAAAAGAGGAAAUCAUUGGUGAAAAAUUCUAGAAGAAUCCGAAAUCCGCAAUGAUUAGGAGGAUGGGACGAAUUUGCAAGUAAUGUGGAAAAGGGGGAAGUAUAAUGCGAAACUCAGUGGCCAAGAAUGUGUUGUCCGUUAGUCAAAAUAAGAGAAUAUUCAAUUUCGAUGCUUUUCUUUUUUCUUGACUUUGCUAAUGAGAAAUCAAUUAGGAUUAAUUUUCAGUCAUUCUUUUAUGAUGUGAUACUAUCUGUUUGUUAAAUAAACAGAAAAUCCAGGAAAAAAAUUGAAAUUAAGGGUGUGUUUGUUUUGAAAAGAAUAUCACUUGAAAAAUAUUUUCUUAAAAAUAAUCAUUUGUAUUGCUUACAAUAAUGAACAAGCGAAAAGUAUCUUCAUUAUCCAUGAAAAUGUUUAGUUAUAAAUUAUUAUCAAUUUAACUAAUAACUUCAAGAGAUAUAAGCGAUCAUUUUAAAAAAAAAAUACUUUUUAAAUUAUUUAUUUUUAGCAAAAUAAACUGAAUUUUAGGUUGCAUCUUAUUAGUUAUGGAAUUUAACUCGAGACCAAAAAAAAAAAGGAAAACUCAUGAAUAAUCCUAUUUCAUAUGGUUUAAUAUUCAUCAUACAUGCCGUCUAGCUCUGAGGGAUGCGCAGGAAAGAUUGGGAUAGCUGGGACACGUCAGCAAGUCGGCUUUAUCUUCUCAUUUUAUUUGUUAUUUGACCCCUUGACCGUUGCUUGCUUCCUCCACAAGAAGUUCAUCUCGAAAAAUUAAAGCUUGACAAAAUUUCUUUUUUUUACCCUCUCAAUUUUUAUAUAAGUUAGAUUUUAAAAGCUUGACAAAAUUUCCUCUUUUUUACCCUCUCAAUUUUUAUAUAAUUAGAUUUUAAAUUUUUUUAAGAGAUAAAUUGCAUUUUUGCCUUUUUAUUUGCGCGUGGGUUGGUGUUAUGUGAGAAAUUAAAGGUAUGAUUGCUCAGGUCAAUUUUUAAUUAUAAUUUAGAUUUUUAAGUUUUUAAGAAUUUCUUUCUUAAUUUUUUAAGAAUUUCAGAUUUACCCCUUAAAUUUUUUUUGGUUGCCAAAAUAAAAAAGUUGAUGCGCCUAACAAUAAAAUAGGGUAUGAAACAUGGUAACUCUAUCCUUACGAAUCUAUCUAAUGAAGAACUAAUUCCCUAUUUUUUUUUUAAAAAAAAAAUCUCAACUUUAGGUCUAGUUCCAAUUCUUUCUUAAUUUUUUUUGUCUAGAAAAAAUUCUAAAACUUUAGAUCCAUUCCAAAUUUGUCCCCAACUUUUAUUUGACUGAAAAAACUCAACUUUAAAUUCAAUCUCAAAUCUAUUUCAAACUUUUUAUCUUUAUCUAAGAGAAAAAUCAUCAAUUUUGACUUUAGUUUCAAAUUUGCCUCCAUUAGUCCUCUAUUAAAAAAAUCAUCAUUAGUUGUCCGUAAUUUUCGUAUUCUAUAAUAGUUUUAUUUUGGAGAUAACUUUUCACACCACCUUCCUAACGUGGAUCUCUUAUCAAUGUGUAAAUGCCAUGUUAAGUAGGGAUUGCACCAUGAGCCUAGAUUUGAAAAUAAAUUGAAAGUUGGUGAUUUUUUUAGAUAAAAAAAAAAAUCGAGGCAAAUUCGGGACUGAAACUAAAGUUUGGGCUUUUUUUUAGACAAAAAAAUUGGACAAAAUUAAGAUUAAAGUUGGAUUUUUUUUAGGAAAUUAGGUCAUUUAAUCAAGAGAAAAAUCAUAGACAAGAAAAAAAUAAAUACAAAUUCGUUGAGUUGAUAGGGAUAACUGAAGAAAAUAAUGCAAUUGAAAAAUGAAAAUUCUAUGAUAUAAGAAGUUGGCAAAAAUUAGGAGACUGACUUGCAAAGGUAAGGAUAAUUUCUUAAACUUUUUUUUCAGACAAAAAAAAUUGGAACAAAUUUAAGAUUAGACUUAAAGUUGGAAAUUUUUUAGGAAAUUAUAUCAUUUAAUCAAGAGAAAAAUCAUAGACAAGAAAAAGAUAAAUACGAAUUCGUUGAGUUGAUAGGGAUAACUAAAGAAAAUAAUGUACGAUUCACUUUCUUUUGCUCUCUCGAGGCACCAUGGAGCUUCUUCUUCUUUAGAUCAUUUAAUCAAGAGAAAAAAUCAUAGACAAGAAAAAGAUAAAUACGGAUUCGUUGAGUGAUAGGGAUAACUGAAGAAAAUAAUGCAAUUGAAAAAUGAAAAUUCUAUGAUAUAAGAAGUUGGCAAAAAUUAGGAGGAUAAGACUAACUUGCAAGGGUAAGGAUAAUUUCUUAAUCUUUUUUUUUUCAGAUAAAAAAAAUUGGAACAAAAUUAAGAUUAGACUCACACAUGACAAAAUUUCUAUUUCUCGAUUUCUCUGUUUCUUUGUUCCCCGGAACAGGUUUGGAACAGAAAUCCGUUUGGUAACGCAAUUUGAUUUCUCUAUUUCUGAAAUAGAUCUCUAUUUCAGAAAUAGAGAAAUUGAAGAAAUCAGAAGCUGAAAUUUUUAACUUCUUAAUUUCUAAAAUAGAAAUCAGAAACUAAAAUCAAACCAUAUAAAAGAACCUUGCACUUUCUUGCUAACUUAAUUCACUCAUAACCACAACUUCACACAUUAUUGCUAAUUUUCUUUUUCUUAUUUUGCUCGUGUUUUUUUUUUUUUUUUGCAUUUUUUUUUAUAACUUCCUCUUUAUGAUGAAAGGCAAUCGAAUGGGUCCCUAAUUUUCAAAAACGAUCAAAGUUCUUAAAUGCUUACUUAAAAACGAUGGGGCUCUUUCCUCCUAGAAAAGGUACGGGUAUGGCCAAUUGAAGAAAAAGUUCUUACAUAAUAGAUGAAUAAAGAACGUGCCUAGAAAUUUAACCUUAUUUUUUUACGAAUUCAAAAUUCUUGCAAAAUCAAAAUAAUUAGAUUGUUACACAAUCUUGAAUUUUAAUUCGAAUGCAAAAGAUUCAAGAGAAACUCUCUCUUUGCUAUGCAAGGGCCAUUAAAGGUUCAUUGAGCAACAAUAAAGAAAUUAGGGAUGAGUAACUGGACUAAUUCAAUUCCAGAAUCAAAAUAAACCGACCUUCCCCCAAUUGAUUCCUAACCAUAAAUGUUACUUUAAGGUAGAAUUCUCUUAUAUUCCUUUACACCAUUAAUUUUAUUUUGUUGAUAAUCUUGUAUAAUACUAGUUUUUGAUAAAAUGACAAGGCUGUAUAGGCGUCAUUGAUGGCACCCAUAUUCAUGCUUCCGCAGUAUUUGUCUGAACCUACGUAGGAUGAGCUUGCAAACGAUACAUUGACCAAGGAGGGAAACCAAAUAAAUAUGCUUAGGAAAACAAUUUCUAAUAAAAUGGCAAUAGAUAAUAAUAUGCCGGAAAUUCUAUGAAAUUGUAUUUUCAACGUUUGUAAUGUAUUAGUAUUAUUUCGGCUAUUAUUUUGUAUUUGAGGAUUUCCUAUGUUAUUUUAGUAUUAUUUCGACUAUUAUUUUGUAUUUGAGGAUUUCCUAUGUUGUUAUCUAAUCAAUUUCUAUUCCUAGAAAUAGAAAUUUUGUUCUGUUAUCAAACGGAUUUCUGUUUUAGAAAUAGAAAUUUUGAGUCGUUAUCAAACAGGUUUCUUUGCUCAGAAACUUGUUCGGGAAAUAGAAAUUAAGAAAUUGAUUUCUGGCAACCUUAAAGUUGGAAAUUUUUUAGGAAAUUAGAUCAUUUAAUCCAGAGAAAAAUCAUAGACAAGAAAAAGAUAAAUAUGAAUUCGUUGAGUUGAUAGGGAUAACUGAAGAAAAUAAUGCAUGAUUUACUUUCUUUUGCUCUCUCGAGGCACCAUGGAGCUUCUUUUUCUUCUUCUUCUUUAACUGAAGAAAAUAAUGCAUGAUUUACUUUCUUUUGCUCUCUCGAGGCACCAUGGAGCUUCUUUUUCUUCUUCUUCUUUAACUGAAGAAAAUAAUGCAUGAUUCACUUUCUUUUGCUCUCUCGAGGCACCAUGGAGCUUCUUCUUCUUCUUCAAAUGAUAUUGAAAAUUCUACAAAAAUCCGAAAUAGGAGGAUGAGACCGAUUUGCAGGGAGGGUAGGGGGGAAUUAAAAGUAUUAUGCGAAACUUGGUGACCAAGGAGGUCUUAUCCUUAGUCAAAAAGGAGAUAAAGAAGGAAGAACGUGAAGGAGGGGUUGGAAAAUGACCGUGCGCUUGACGUGUCCGCGCCGUUGGUCACGAGGACUUGUUGUUGCUAGUCAAGAUUAAGGUGAUUGUCGUACAAAAAGCAAGGGGGGAUUCCAUGUCGGUGUUUCUUUUUCUUGGAAAAUUGGUGUUUGAUCUCAUCCUUUUGGUAUUCACACUCUUUUCGUCAAGCUCCUAGACAGGAACAAGGACAAAAGGCAACAUGAAAUUGGAGACCAAACUAAAUUUUGAAGAAGUGAGGAGGAGAUCGAUAACUCAUAGAAUUUGCAAUUAAGGUUUCCCUUUUAUCUAUUUUGUGAAAAGCAAAUAAUUCAAAAAAAAUUAUGAGAACAAGAAAUAUUUUCAUCGCCCACAAAUAAAAUUAGAUAUGAAUAAUUAUCGAUAAUUAAAACAUAUUUUAUUAGCUGAUUAUUUGGAGUGCUCAAUUUUAGGAACGUGUUUUUUGAAUCAUUCAUUUUUCACAAAUAAAAGAAUCUUAUAGACAUCUAAAGACAAAUCAUAUUCAUCUCAUCCUAGCAUAACUUGUAAGCACUUUGGGUGUAUUUGUUUUUGGAAAAAUUUCGUGAUAAAUGAAAAUGUUUUUCAAAAAAUCAUUGUUUACGAAAUUUUUUUACCUUUUCAGAUUAGAGAAUUUAUUUCCUAACUUUGAGCACAUGUUUUAUUAUUAUUAUUAUUAUUAUUAUUAUUAUUAUUAUUAUUAUUAUUAUUAUUAUUAUUAUUAUUAUUAUUAUUAUUAUUAUUAUUAUUAUUGUAAAUGGUUUUCGAUCAACUAAUCAUUUUUAACAAAUUAAAUGCGUGAAAGUUUAAAAAAUUAAUUUGUAAGAAAAUUUAAACAUAUACUCAUUGAUGUCCUUUCCUGAUGGAGCUCUGCACAACUAGCUGCGUUGCCUAUUUCUCCAAUUCAGUGGCGACCAAUCAUUGGGGUUUGCCCAGUGGCUACCCUUUUAACAUGGAAUGAGGAGACGGGGGGUUCAAAUCCCUAUCUUCUCAGGAGUUGGGGUGGGGACGAUUUAGUUUUAGGAGUGGGUUUCGACUCCCAUACUUUGCAAUGAGGCAGAGUAAAAGUCUGAGAGUGAGAGUUAGAAUAGAGAUAGAGUUGGAUUGACAAAAAAAAUGAAAUUUAGUGUCGACCCAUUAAUAUUUUAAUAUGCAUUAGCACGAGAUUUUCACCAAUUAAUAUACAACUCCCUGAAAAGAAAUAUUACUUUCUACAAAAGACAUAUUGGCCCUAAUCCCAAACAUCAAUUCAUUAUGGGGGCAUUCGUAUGGUGUUGAAGAACGAAUCUCCGGAUCGCAAUUUAUCGUAAAUAUUUAUUAUUCUUUCAUAAUUUUUACACAAGAUAUUGAAACACGCCAAAAAUUUAAAAGGGUUAAGGAUCGAUGGUGAAAAUCACUCCUCUCUAUCCUAUGGCCAUCAUUGGAUUUGCUUCCCAAGAAUCUUUUGAAACCUCUUUCAUUAUAAACCGAAAUCCGUAUGCCUAACUAGCAUUUGGAACAAAUUUCCAAUAAUAACUUUAGUCGCAAAAAAAAACAUUCUAACUAGAGAUGAGCAUAGUCCAAAUAGCCAAUUCCUACGUUGGAAUCAGAAACUAUCCACUAAAGACCGAUUUUGAAAAACUUGGAACAAGGAACCGCUCGUUGAUUCCAUAGAUCCACCCAAGAAUUGAUUCUCAAUCCCUACAAAGUUGCAUUUAUUAAUUUAUAUCAUGACAAACCUAGUUUCUAUUUAGAGCACCAAACCUUAUUCGGCCUUAAAUUCAGGUUGAAUUGUGAGCUAUUGAUUUUGAGUAGGGAUUGGGAAAUAUAGAGCAGAACCAAUAGACAAUACUCGUUAAGUAGGAACUCAAUGUCGUUAAAGGUCAUGAUGUGGUCUUCUUAGGGUUUUCUGACAUCAAGAACAUGUGGAGAAUUAGACUCUACGUUAGAAGUCCUAACCUCCAAAGAAAUUAAAAAAUUAAUCACUUGAUCCAUUUUUUUUUCAACAUCAACUAAUUUAAUCAAGGAAAUGGCUAAUGAGAGACCUAAUUAUUGAAUUUCAUAUUAUGACAAUAAAGCACCGCAACAUUUAUGGACAUCUCCAACCGAUUCUCUCCUUUCUCUUCAUUUGUCUAUUUUGUUUUGGCUAAGAAAGUAUGUAAAUAGAUUAUUAGAAUGAAAAAAAGAAGUAAGAGAUUAAUCCUAUUACACACUCAAAAGAUAAAAUUAGUCAAUAAUAUCCAACAAAUAUAUAUUGGUUAAAAAAAGUAGAAAAUAAUUAAGUAAUUGAGAUAUAAUUUCCUUUUUUUUUAAUAUAUAUACGUACUGGUCUAAUCCAAGUAGGCGAUUCCACGCAUGUAAUCGAGAACCAAAUCAAUACUCACUUGUUUUAUUAAAUUGGAACCAGGAGCCAGACUAGUUCCCACGGGAACUACCGGUUUUGUGCUAGUCUAGUCUAGUUUCAUGCAAUUCCCAAGUCUUUUGAUCCAUCUGUUUUCAACAUCAACUAAUUUAAUUAUACUCUUAAAAUGAGUCAUUGGCUCUUAAUUUUGUAUCAUGACAACGAAGUGCCACAAUAUUUAUGAACAUCUUGAAUAGGUCCUCUCCUUCUUCUUUGUUUGUUUGUUUUGUUUUUGCUAAGAAAGCAAGUAAAUAGAUUAUUAGAAUGAAAAAAAAUGGGGUACAUACUCGAGAGACUUGGUAAAAAAAACUACAAAAUAAUUAAAUAAUGAAAAUAAUUAUAAAAAAUUAAAUAUACUUGUCAAGUUCAAGUAGGAAUUGGAUUAGUACUCACUGAUUUCAUUAGGUUGAAACCAGGACCUGGACCAGUCCUCAUGGGAAUUGCUAGUUUUGUACUAGUCUGGCUUGUUUUUGUGCCGUUUAGAUGAUUUCCGAUUUCUUAACACACCUCUAAUUGUGACUUUUAUAAAGUAUAUUGUAAAUACCUCACACUUAUGGCUACUUUAAAAUUUCAGCAGCCUUUGAUGACUUUCUAGGAAGCCACCGCAGCCAACAUUGAAGUGCUACAAUUUAUAAAAUAUGCAUUUCAUAACCACAAAAAGCCACGUCAUCUUAUACAUUUUUACCAAACUGGCUCUACUAAUUUUGAAAGGGGAAGACCAAGAACAGAGAGUCAACGUCAAGUCUUCGGGCAUUAAUCAUCGCCGACAAUACCUAAUCCACGGCAGGUGGUCCUGGUAAAGCAGACUAGAAAAACUCACUUUUUGCACGGAUAUUGUGAAAAAGCAGAAUAUAACACGUGUUUUUCUUUUUUAUCUUUUGUAUAAUUUAUUUUCGAUUUGCUUUUAAUCCGACUUUUAUAUGGAUAUUGUUAUGAAAUACAUGAAUGGAUAGAAUGCAUGAAUGAAUAUUCAUUAUAUUCAUCUUAUCCAAUGUAUUUAUUAUGGUACAUUUGUAUCAAAUGUUCUAAGUACAUCUCCCUAUACAAUGAACGUUCGUCUCCCUUAUCAUGUACAUGUAUCAUUCGAUACAUUGAUAUUAAUGAUAAGUACAUUCUUGUUCUCCUAUAAAUAGGAGUUUAGUUUUGAUGUACAAUAUACAAUCACACAGAAACACGACAGUGAGAUACUAGAAAUAAAGCUCUCUCAUCUUGCUACUAUCUCUAGUGUUCACUUUCUUUCUCUUCUUUAAUCUCUUCUCUAUUAUAUAUUCGCCACGUGAUAUUUUACAACACGUUAUCAGCACGAGGAUCUACCGAUUGAGUAAGUAACUUUUGCAAGAACGAAGAUCUACCGAUUCAGUAAGUAAAUUUUGCAAGGUGCGUAUUAUUUUUAUUAAUCAACUUAUACUUCAUUUUCUUCUAUCAAUUCUUCAUUUUUAUUUUUCUUGGCCCGAAGCCAAAAUUCAAAUCUAAAAGUAUCCUUCUGCUCCUGAAGUAGCGGUGGAUAUUUGGAAAUCCUUUUAAUUAAUUUAAGGAUUUAUUUUUGCAAGGAUUAUGACAAAUAUUGAAAAGCCCAAAUUCCACAUCCUGGAAGUGAGUGGAAAGAAUUAUCUAUCCUGGUGCCUUGACAUGGAAAUGCACCUCCAAGGGCAAGGUCUCGCUAAUACAAUUACAGAGGAUGGAACCUCAAAUGAAAAGGAUAAAGCAAAUGCGCUGAUUUUUAUUCGCCGUCAUUUGCAUGAGAGCCUGCAGACUCAAUAUUUAUCCGUUCGAGACCCGCAUAUCUUGUGGAGGAGGUUGAAUGAUAGGUAUGAUCAUACAAAAACUGUUAUCCUCCCUCAAGCACAAUAUGAUUGGCAAAAUCUCAGAUUGCAAGAUUUUAAAUCAGUGUCUGACUAUAAUUCUGCUUUAUUUGAUAUCGUUUCUCGGCUAGAGUUAUGCGGUAUCAAACUCACUGAUGCAGAAUUGCUUGAGAAAACUUUUUCCACCUUUCAUGCUUCAAAUAUUGUAUUGCAACAGCAAUACCGGCAACGUCAAUUUGCCACAUUCUGAAUUAAUUUCUGUGCUUCUUACUGCCGAGCAAACUAAUGAAUUACUGCUCAAAAAUCAUGAUCUUAAACCUGCUGGCUCAAAAGCAUUGCCUGAAGCACAUGCUAACUUUGAGAAAAAUACUAGCCAUUUUAAGGGCUAUAAGCGCAGGCAAGAACAUAAUCCUAGAAGGGAUGGCAAGAAAUUUAACCGCCCUAGGAAAUCAAACUUUGGCCUGAAUCAUGGCAAAGAAAAGAAGCAAAAGAAGGUGAUUAAUGAAAGUAUUUGUCAUCGCUGUGGCAUGACCGGGCACUAGUCACGUACCUGUCGUAAGCCAAAACAUUUUGUUGACCUAUACCAGGCAUCUUUAAAGAAUACGGGCAAGCGUGGUGAAUCUCAUGCCAUUGAAAUCAAUCCUACUGCCAUAACCACUGUUGAGGCCAACAAUAUCUCCGUUGAUGGGACUCCUCUUGCUCCUAAAGUAGCAAAUGCAUCAUUGGAUGUCUCUGAUUUCUUUGAGGACCUCUGAUUACUUUGAUGAAUCAUAUUGGUGGAUAAUAAUUUGAACUUUGAAAUUUAUGUUGUUUCACUUUAAAUGUAUUACUUUUUUUUAUUGUUCUUUAUGAAAUACUUAUGAACCUUAUAUAAUAUUUAUCUUUGAAAUUUUAUUCAACUAUAUAACUAAAAUGCAACUUUUAUGAUACUUGACACCUGAAGUUGUCAAUAUAAAUGCAAAUGGAAAAUACCGAGAAAAAGGAAGAUGUUUGUUUGCUUGAUAGAGCAACAACACAUACUAUAUUUUGUAGUAGACACUUUUUCUCGAGUAUGACAUUACGUAAGGCACAAAUCCAUACAAUAUCAGGUUCUGUUCCGAUUAUUGAUGGUUUUGGGAAUGCUGCAAUUAUUUUGCCAAAUGGCACAAUCCUGCAUAUUGAGAAUGCGUUUCUAAGCAUUCGAUCAAAAAGGAAUUUGCUCAAUUUCAAAGAUGUACGCCGUAAUUGGUACCAUAUUGAGACUAUUUAUGAGCAAGAUAAGAAAUAUAUUGUCAUUUCCUCUUAUAAGAUGGGCCUGAAGACCAUCCAUGAGAAGCUAGAAGCUUCUUCUAUGGGUUUGUAUUGUGUCAUGAUUAAAGCUGUUGAAACCUACGCUACCAUAUCCUGGAGAUUGGUAAGCCCUGAUUAGUUUGGACUAUGGCAUGAUCACCUUGGUCAUCCUGGCGCUUCAAUGAUGCGUAGGAUAAUUUAAAAUACAAAAGGGCACCCUUUAAAGGAUAUAAAGGUAUUGUUGUCCAAAGAUUAUAAUUGUGAGGCUUACUCACAAGGAAAGCUCAUUAUCAAACCUUCUAUAACAAAGGUUAAUUUUGAAUCUCCUUUAUUAUUGCAAAGAAUUCAGGGUGAUAUUUGUGGACCAAUACAACCACCAAGUGGACCAUUUUGAUAUUUUAUGGUAUUAGUGGACGCAUCCUGUAGAUGGUCCCAUGUUUGCCUAUUAUCUACGCGCAAUGUCGCAUUUGCACGUUUACUUGCGCAGAUUAUAAAGCUCCGGGCACAAUUCAUUGAUUAUCCAAUUAAGAGCAUAAGGAUGGAUAAUGCUGGUGAAUUUACAUCAAAGAGUUUUGAUACAUAUUGUGCUUCACUCGGAAUCGAGGUUGAGCACCCGGUUGCAUAUGUUCAUACUCAAAAUGGAUUGGCAGAAUCCUUGAUUAAACGUAUCCAAAUCAUUGCCCGCACUCUAUUAUUGAGAACGAAUCUCAACGAUACUGCAUGGGGUCAUGCAAUUUUGCAUGCGGCAGCUCUAAUAAGAUUACGCCCCACUGCUAGUAUUUUACAAUCUCCCCUUCAAAUGGUUCUUGGUUAUGAACCAGAUAUUUCACAUCUACGCACCUUUGGUUGUGCAGUACAGGUGCCUGUAGCACCGCCAAAAAGGACGAAAAUGGGUCCCCAACGCCGUUUGGGCAUUUAUGUUGGGUUUAAUUCACCAUCUAUCAUUAGGUUCUUGGAACCAACUACUGGUGAUCUUUUUACUGCCAAGUUUGCAGAUUGUCAUUUCGAUGAGACUAGGUUUCCAUCAAUUGGGAUACCUACAACUUCCAUGACUGCAAAACAAAAACCAGUUAAGGUUUUUUCCUGGAAUGAGAAAAAUUUAUCUCAAUUAGACCCAAGGACUCCUGAAUGUGAAAACGAGAUGCAGCGCAUAAUCCAUUUAUAGGCUAUGGCCAAUAGACUUCCUGACGCAUUUAAUGAUGCUAUUAAGGUAACGAAGUCUCAUAUUCCAGCUGCAAAUGCUCCAGCUAGGAUAGCUGUUCCCGAAGAACAGGCUAAAAUGGAUCAAAAUCCCCUGCACUUGAAGCGUGGUAGACCGAUAGGAUCAAAAGAUACUGCUCCUCGAAAACGAAGGGGAAAGAAUCAGGAAUCCGCUCCAAAAGAGCUUGGCGUUGUGCUUGCUCCCAAAGAGCUUAUUGCCCCUGAAGAGGCACAAACCCAUGAAAGAAGCACUAGCCCCGGGAAUACUGAGAAUUCCAUUACAUAUUGUAAUGAAAUUUGGGAUCGAAAUGAAAUCAUCAUUGAUGAUGCUUUUGCAUUCUCAGUUGCUCAUCAAAUUAUGGAUGAUGAUUGUGAACCACAAUCUAUUAUUGAAUGUCGUCAAAGGCAAGAUUGGCAUAAGUGGGAGGAAGCAAUUAAAGCUGAAUUAGCUUCCCUAACUAAACGAGAGGUUUUUGGACCUGUAACUCGUAUCCCUGAUAAUGUAAAGCCCGUUGGAUAUAAAUGGGUAUUUAUCCGAAAACGAAAUGAGAAAAACGAGGUUGUCAGGUAUAAAGCCCAACUCGUUGCCCAAGGAUUCUCCCAGAGACCUGGGAUUGAUUAUAAUGAGACAUAUUCACCUGUGAUGGAUAUGAUUACAUUUCGUUUUCUCAUUAGCCUAGCAAUCUUUGAAAGAUUGGAAAUGCGUCUUAUGGACGUUGUGACGGCAUAUCUAUAUGGCUCAUUAGACUUUGAUAUUUAUAUGAAAAUUCCUAAGGGAUUCAAAAUGCCUGAAGCAUGCACUCCCCGCAAUUUAUUUUCAAUAAAAUUGCAAAGAUCCUUGUACGGGUUAAAGCAAUCCGGUCGCAUGUGGUAUCAACGCCUAAGUGAGUACCUAAUUAAGGAAAUGUACAAAAAUGAUCAUAUCUGCCCAUGCGUGUUUAUUAAGAAAUCAGAAACUGGGUUUGCUAUUAUAGCAGUUUAUGUCGAUGAUACAAAUUUAAUUGGAACUCUAGAAGAGUUAGCUGAAACUGCUGAAUAUUUGAAAAGGGAGUUUGAAGUUAAAGAUUUGGGUAAAACCAAACUUUGUCUUGGUCUAGAGCUUGAGCAUAAAGCAAAUGGAAUAAUCGUCCAUCAAUCAGCAUAUGUUGAAAGAUUGCUUAAACGUUUCAACAUGGACAAAGCUCACCCAUUGAGCACCCCUAUGGUUGUAAGGUCUCUAGAUCCCCAAAAGGACCCAUUUCGUCCUAAAGAAUCUGAUGAAGAGAUACUUGGUCCUGAAGUACCAUAUCUCAAUGCAAUUGGGGCUUUGAUGUACUUGGCACAAUGUACGAGACUAGAUAUCGCUUUUGCGGUAAAUUUAUUGGCACGUUUUAGUUCUGAGCCAACUCGGAGACAUUGGAAUGGAGUUAAACAUAUUUUCCGUUAUCUCCGAGGAACCAUAGAUUUGGGAUUAUAUUAUUCCAAGGAUUCCACUAACUCUGGUUUAGUUAGAUAUGCUGAUGCUAGAUAUAGAUCCGAUCCACAUAAGGCUCGCUCUCAAACCGGGUAUUUAUUUUGUUAUAACGUCACCGCUAUUUCUUGGCGUUCUACGAAGCAAUCGCUAGUAGCUACAUCUUCUAACCACUCUGAGAUUAUUGCUUUAUAUGAAGCUGGAAGAGAGUGUGUUUGGUUAAGAUCCGUUAUAACACAUAUUCAUAAUUCUUGUUGCUUAAUACCGGUUACAAAUUCUCCCACUAUAAUUUAUGAAGAUAAUGCUGCUUGUGUUGCACAAGUCAGGGGAGGAUAUAUCAAAGGUGAUAGGACCAAGCAUAUCUCGCCGAAAUUUUUCUAUACUCAUGAACUCCAAGAAAGUCGACAAAUUGAUGUUAAACAGAUUCGAUCCAUAAAUAAUCUUGCAGAUCUUUUUAACAAAUCAUUGCCAACAUCAAGUUUUGAGAAAUUAGUAUAUGGCAUUGGUAUGAGGCGAGUUCAUAAGAUGUAAGAUUGAUUAGCCCCAGAAAUGGCUAUAUGGCUCAAUUGAGGGGGAGAUAUUAUGAAUUAUACAUUGCAGCAUUGAUAUGUGCUAGUUCACAAGAUGCAAUAAUGAUUAGCCCCAGGAGUGGCUAUAUAUGCAUUGCACUCUUUUUUCUUUAUGUCCGGUUUUUUCCCAUAGGGUUUUUCCAGCUUAAAGUUUUUAACGAGACAAUUAAUGCAUCCAUAAAAGGGAGAGAUCAUAACAUUUGUGCUCUGCACUCUUUUUCCCUUUUUGUCCGAUUUUUAUCCCACUGGGUUUUUCCGGCUUAAGGUUUUUAAUGAGGCAGUAUCAUUCAAUGCACAUUCGUAAUGAAUAUGAUGAAUAUUCAAGGGGGACUGUUAUGAAAUACAUGAAUUGAUAGAAUACAUGAAUGAAUAUUCAUUAUAUUCAUCUUAUUCAAUGUACUUAUUAUGGUACAUUUGUAUCAAAUGUUCUAAGUACAUCUCCCUAUACAAUGAACGUUCGUCUCCCUUAUCUUGUACAUGUAUCAUUCGAUACAUUGAUAUUAAUGAUAAGUACAUUCUUGUUCUCCUAUAAAUAGGAGUUUAGUUUUGAUGUACAAUAUACAAUCACAUAGAAACACGACAGUGAGAUACUAGAAAUAAAGCUCUCUCAUCUUGCUACUAUCUCUAGUGUUCACUUGCUUUCUCUUUUUUAAUCUCUUCUCUAUUAUAUAUUUGCCACGCGAUAUUUUACAACAGAUAUUUCCUUUUUACUUUCUCUUGUUCGUUAAAUUUUUGCAUCGAGUACAUAAAUACUGAUGUAUACCUGUAUUUUUCAAUCUUUUUUUCAUUUCAAAUUCUUCUCAUUUACCUUGCUUGAAAUUUUUUUUGCAACUUUACAGUGACUUUCUAAAUUUAUAUAUGUUAAUAUUUUUAUUUAGACUCUUUUAUAUUGUUGCAUCGAUUUCACUGGGAAAUUAUUUUGGUUAUGUCCUUACUUUUGUUAUCAAUGUAAGUAUAGUGUUAAUAAGGCUAUGAAAUUUUAGCAAAAUAAAAAGGUAAAGUGAAAGUUUAUAGAACCAUGGAGUUAUGAUUUUAAAAGGAGAAACAAUAAAUGCAAUUGGAUUUGUUUUGAAUAUUGAUUAUAGUAAAAAAUUUUGUGCUUCAAGUGGUAUUGAAUAAGAUUUGCCACACUCAACUUGAACUAUGGCCAAGUGAGAAACUUGAACCAGAUAAAGAAGCUUAGUAUCCCCAAAACUUUUUUUUUUUUUUAUCAGAGCAAUACAAGUAUUUUUUUCAAGGAGAAAUAUUAUACAAAUCAUUUAUUUUUUACGAAAUAAACAUAGUUUAAUUAGACUUAAAAAAUCAUAAUCAUCUUAUCCUAGGAUAAUUUCUUCUCUAUUAUAACACUAUGACCUUAAAAAUAAAAAUACAACUAUAAUAGUUCAAUAUCAAUGGACAUCCAUCCACAUCAUGCUCUCCAAAAGAGUGAUAUGAAUACUAAAUAAUAACGAUUUGAAUACUAAAUAAUAGAUAUUUUGAUAACUUGAAAAGGUUGAUAUGAAUGUCAUCCUAUUCCGUAAUAUAUCUUAUUAGUUCUACAAUUAUUCUACUUUUGCACGUUAAAUUGUAUUUUGGAUUCUUAUUAAAAAUUAUUCAAAUUGCACUUUUCCUUCCGUGUUAAUUUUUAUUUUUUCAUUUUUUUACAUAUUAGUUGGUGGCCUUUUUGUUAAUAGACAAAAGCCCAUCAAUAUCCUUUCCUGAUGUAACUCUGCCCAACUAGCUUGCUGCGUUGCCAAUUUUCCAAUUGAAGCGAUCCUUUGAUAUUUUAAUAUGCAUUAGCUUGAUAUUUUCACCAAUUAAUAUACAAAUCCUGAAAAAUAAAAUUUUAAUAGACAAAAAGCCCAUCAAUAUCCUUUCCUGAUGUAACUCUGCCCAACUAGCUUGCUGCGUUGCCAAUUUUCCAAUUGAAGCGAUCCUUUGAUAUUUUAAUAUGCAUUAGCUUGAUAUUUUCACCAAUUAAUAUAAAAAUCCUGAAAAUAAAAUUUUAUUUUCUAGAAAAAGACAAGUUGGACCUAAAUCAAUAAAGAAAAAGAUAUUAUUAUAAAUGUCAAUUCAUUUUUGGGCACUUGUAUGGUUUCGAAGGAUGAAACUCCAGAUUGCAAUUUAUUGAAAUUAUUUUUUCCAUUAUUUUUAUUUAAAAUAUUGUAACACAAAAAAAAUUAAAAUGGUUUGUGAUUAAUGGCGAGAUUUACUCUCUUUUCUCUCCAACCCCAUGAAAAAUUAGGGAUAUGCUUUCGAAGAAUCUUUAGAAACCCCUUGUUACAAUCCAAAAUGCAUAUGCCUAUUAUCCUUUUGAACAGUUUUGCUAUAGUAAUUUCAGCUGUUGAAAGGAGCAUUGCGACUUUUGUAAAUUUUUUGGUCAACACCUCACAGCUACAGCUAUGACUACUUUAAAAUUUCAGCAGCUUAUAAUAACUUUAUAGAAAUUAGGAAGCUACUACAAUUUAUAAAAUAUGCAUUUCAUAAACAAAAAAGCCACCUCAUUUUAUAACACACCAUAACUACGUUUGUACCUAUCUGGCUCUACUAAUUUUGAAAGAGAAAGCGCAAAAACAGAGAGUCAACAUCUAGUCUUCGGGUAUUAAUUAUUCCUGACUGGGCCUGGACCACGGAUUGCAAAAUGAAGCUGGCUCAUCGCAGUUUUGCGCGUCGGAUAAACAAGCUAGCAGAUUGGGUGGUAAAAGCCCCACGUCCAGAAUUGGCUAUUUCAUCCCCGGAACUUAUGUUGGAUAAUUAUAUCGGGUAAAAGUCACCUAUAACACAUUUAUUCUGAGCUUUUCUUUGUAACAAAAAAGGCUCCAAACUAAACUAAUGUGACGCAUUUACUCCAAACUUAUACAGUGUGACAUCUUUAUUUCAAAUUUAUUUUUUGUGACAGCAAAAAUCUCAAGCCUUUACUUGUGUGACGAAUUUAUCCAAAAAAUUUGGUGUCUCAGAAAAAAGUUCGGGAUUUUUGGCUUCAAAAAAAAAGUUUGGAGUAAAUAUGAUGCAUGAGUAAAAGUUUGGGAUUUUUUGUAUCACAGAAAAAAAAAUUGAGGUAAAUGUGUCACAGUGGGCAAAGUUUUGAGUUUUUGGCGUCAUAAAAAAUAAUUUAGAUUAAAUGUGUCAUUAUAAGCAAAGUUUGGGAUUUUUUGUAGUUUUUUCCCUUAUAUUUUCACAAACCUAGCUUAAGUUGAUAAAAUUUCUGUUUUUUAGACAAAAAUAUUUUUUGUUGCAGACUAGGAAAACCAACUCUUUGCUCAGGCAUUGAGAAAAAAACAGAAUAAAAUUAUUGUCCUUUUCUUGCAUCGUGCUUUUAUUAUUGUUCUCUUGUUCCUUAAAUUUAAGAGAAGAUAGCAUAAAUGAUCCACAAAUUUUUGUCUCGAUCUGCAAUGUUGUCCUUAAACUUUUAAUUUAUUCAAUAUAAUUCUCGAAUUGUUGGUAAGUAUUCAAUGCCGUCUUUAGGCUUGCUCAAAAGGCAAACCAAAUGUUAUUUUGAUGACGUAGAUUACUAUAUGUUGAGUUGAAUUUUUAGAAAUGAUGAUUCAAUCUAUCUAUCAUUUUACCCAUCUACUUUAAACAAGGAAAAAAUUUAAGCAUUAACACGUCCAUUGUUAUUUGAUGAUAUGGAUUAUUUUAUCCGAAUUAAGAUGAAUAUCUUAUGUGGAUAAUUCAUAAAUAACUUUUUUUUUUGCCCACCAUUCAAACCUAAAAGAUUGGAAGCUACAUCACUAUUCUAGGAAUUAGAUUGAAUACAUGUAGAUAGUUCAAGGAUCAUAUUGUAUAUUGAAACAAAAUUCAUAAACUAUUUAUGUCAUUUUUCUUUGAAUUUUUUAAUCAAGUGCAUAAAUAUUGCAAUGCACCUAUGUUUUUCAAUUUUUUUUUUCAUUUAAAUGAGUUUUAUUUGGAGAGAGUCCCGACAGGGCUCUCUGCUUCAUUUAUAAACACAGACAGGAUAUAAUAAAGUCAGCGGGGCACUUCCAAAAAGCUUCCAUUAGACCUUGAUUUUACUCAAAUUAUCUAAUAAAUGUUUUUGGAGGUAGAACUCACUGAUUUGUCAAACCCAUUAUGACUAAUCCCCGCCAUAUCUCAUUAAACAACAGUUUAGAUUAAAUAAAAUACAAGCUAGAAAUGAAAUAGUAUUUCUUUAUACUUCGGUUAAAAUAUUUUUACAACUUUGCCAUGAAUUUCCAAAUUUAGAUGGAUUGAUUUUUUCUAUUUAAAUUUUUUUAUAUCAUUGUAUUGACCCCAUUGACAAAAUGUUCUGGCUCUGUAUUUGCUUAAAAUCAAUAUAGAUAUACUGUUGAUAGGGUCAUAAGAUUUUAUCACAAUUAAAAGGUACAAGCUUACGCAAUCAUGACUGAGUAUUAAAAUUGUGAUGGAAUCAUGUUUUUAAAUGGAGAAACGAUAAAUGUAAAUUACAUAUUGUAUGUUGAUUUUAGCAAGAAAUUUUGUGCUUCAAGUAAUAUAAAAUAAAAUUUGCACUCUACUUGAACUAGGUACAUGGCCAAGUAAAAAACUUGAGCCAGAGAGAGAAGUUCAGUAUCUCCAUAGCUUCAUUUUCUUGAUCGAAAGUUUUGUGAACUAUGAUUCAGCUACAAUAAAUCACAUGUGACCCCAAACAUUUCUUGACAUUCAAAACUCGAUUAAAUCUAUUAGAGUUAGGUCUCUUCUCGUAUCACAAUUAAUACCGACAUCCUUUCAUCCUUGCUAGAAAAAGAGUUCAACCAAAAAAGGAAGUGUGGAAAUGUGGAAAUUGAAAGCUUAUGGCGUUGUUGAAUUUAUUGAGUUCCUUGCUAGAGAAGGAAAGAACAUUCCACGUGGAAUGAAUCGAUUCUAUCCUCAAAUUCAACCUUUUCAACGAAGUGGAAGAUAAACGAACAUCAAUUCUCGUGUUCUUGACAUUAAAUUUUAGUUUGAUAUAUGGGGAAAACAGUCAAAUUAAUCCAUCUUCUUUGCCCAAGAACUAGACAUAUUGCCAACAGAUGCUCUUUCAUAAACGUGAGCUGCAAUUGGGCCUACAAAAGUUAACAGUUCUUGCAAACCAGGCUGCUUUAUAAUCACCAAGGAUCAGCAAGGAAUGAACUUCUUUUGCAGCGCCUUCUCCGUCUUGUCUUUUUACGAUCGUUCUUCCUUAAGACGACUAGCGACACUUUUCAUUGUCACAAAUUAUAUCAACCGAUCCGGAUCUAGAGUUACCAUCUAAUGAUAUAACAGAGGACCCGUUACCAUAACGCUGAACUGCACAAGAACUAACCACUAGGACCUUAGGACUGAUCAAAGACUAUUCGAUUGCAUCGAUUAAACAUGUCCUAUUAAGUCCGGUGUACAUGCAACAUCUUGAAGCUGCAUCUUCUAAAGGAGAGACGGAUGUGCAUGUACGACAACUGCCGAUCAAAGACUAUUCGAUCCCACUGCUCUAUUUAGCGCGCGGCUUGUCGACAAUAAACAUUUUAUUAAUAUGGCAAACUGUCGAAGUCAUAACGCACAUCACAUUACUCACAUACAAACCCCUCGUAGAUCAAGCUCGGAAACAUUCACUCAGAAAAAAAAAGAGGAGAACGGCUUCAAACGAGUCAUAGAUAACGAGACUACUAUAAAGCAACUUUCAGGCUCUACGACAGACAUCACCAUCACAGACCCAUCCUUCUUUGGCAUCUCCUUCUUUCUUUGCCUCCUCCUCAGCUGCUUCAUUGUCUUCAUCUAACUCGUUUUCAGUUGCUUUCUCUUCUUUAACAGCACAUUUUGGGUGGAGAUCAAAGUCACACUCCUCGCAAUAAUAUGACCACCCCUCCCCCUCUUCAUCGCAGCCAUCACAAGUGUACCGUCUCCUCUGAGCCGGAACGAGCUCGUGCUCUUCAUGCAAAGGUUGCUUCAACUUCUCUGGCCAGCCUUUUAUACUUUCCUUGAACUUUUCCUCAAACUUCUUGAGAUGUUCGGCAGUAAAAGGAUAAGCAUCAGCCCCGUGGUCCAUUAUAAGAUCCCUUGCUUUGUUAGUCACCGUCCGGCCCGUUGGACCUAUGGCUACAAGCAUGGGGAUGCCCCGGACCUUGAAUUUGCGACUCAGGGAUUUCUUCCUCUCGUCACCAAAAGGGAGCGCCAGCCACGGCAUCUGAGCAAAAUAAUUAUCAAAGGCAGUUUGGUCCUUGUCACUGGAGAUGAAGAUAACCUCCAAGGCAUUGCCGGCGGCCUUGAUCUUUUCGUAUGCCUCAGUAAGCACCGGCAGGAAUGCACGGCAAGGAGGGCACCAGUGUGCCGAGAAGUACAGGAGGACAGUCUUCCCUACCAAGUCUGGUACUGGAAUCUGCAAUCGAAGUUAAGGAACAACCUUUUAGAUGAACCACCAAUUGAUGGAGAAGGCACGUGAAAACUACAUCUAUGUAAAGGAUUUUCCUAGCUAUAAACCUGGUUUCAAUCCUUUCCUCGAGUCAAGUAACCCGAGGGACAACUGUAUAUGGGGCCCCAGUGUAGACAUCAAAAAUUUCCCCAGUCAUUAGCUUCUAGGGAAAAAACAAAUUUACCUUGGUUCCAUCCUUUCCAAUGACAAAAUCCAGAUCCCCUGAAACCAAGAUCGACUCCAAGGUCUGAGAUUCUUCCCUUUUCUUCUCUAUCUCUGCAAGCUCUGCAAACUUUUCUGGAGUGAAGGGAUAAGCUGUGAUGCCAUGCUCUUCGACAGUUUCGGCAACGUUGGCAUGGACAGUCUUCCCAUCCUGACCGAUAAUGACCAGAGUGGGUAGGGUCGACAGCUUAAAGUACCUCACCAACUUCUCGCAUUUCUUGUCUUUGAAUGGUAAUGAAAGCCAUGGCAUGCUGCCAAAGGAUUGGUUGAAUGAUGCUUCAUCAUCAUCGAGAGGUAUCUGAACGAUCUCAAAACUCUCUCCUCUGGCCUUCAAUUUCUCAUAAACCUCCAGUAACUUAGGCGUGAAAUCGACGCAUGCCCUGUGCACGGACAACGAGAAGUACAGACCCACUGUUUUCNNNNNNNNNNNNNNNNNNNNNNNNNNNNNNNNNNNNNNNNNNNNNNNNNNNNNNNNNNNNNNNNNNNNNNNNNNNNNNNNNNNNNNNNNNNNNNNNNNNNAAUCAUAGCACAUGCGACCAUGAGUUUCAAAUGCAUCGAGAUCUUUUUAGGUUUACCUGAUUCCGAUUGACGAAACUACGAAGUUACGAGAUCCAUGGACCAAAAGAGAGGUCACUGAUUGAUUUAUCCUAGUAGCUUCUUCCUGGUCUUUCAACUCUUUGAUACGUUCUGGAGUGAAAGGGUGACCUUCCACUCCAUACUCACGGACAAUCGCAACUCCGCUAUCUGUUAAGACCGUACCUGUGCCAUCGAGAAUGACAAGGUGGGGUAUCCCCCUCACCUUAAACAAUUCAUCCAAGCUAUUGCGCUUGUCCAAGUCGGAAAACGGGAUUGCAAGCCACGGCAUCUUGGAAAAGUAUCCACUGAAGGACCCUUCAUCCUUAUCUGCAGAGAUAAAAAUGAUCUCCAGAUCACCUUUUGGGGAAAGUUCAUCGUACACCUCCGCCAGAAUCGGGGUGAACCGGUGGCACGGACCGCACCACGAUGCGGAGAAGUACAAGCCAAUCUUCUUCCCCUUCAAGCUAUCGACCUUAACCUGAUAUAGAACAAAAAGAUUCCUAAUUUUAGUUCUUUCAUACGGUAAUCAGCGAGCAAGGCACACUAGAUCACUUGACCACCACACAAAAAUCCUGAAAAUGCUCAAGAUACACAUCCAAAUGCCAACUGCAGAAGCACUUCCCUUAUGCACUGCUCAUUAAAUAGUUAGCAAAUCAGCAGUCUUCGCCACCAAAACAAGUAUACCACACCGAAGGUGUGAGCAUUUACACUAAAGAGCAUUACUUCAUAGCAAUAUCGGAUCCAUAUACACUGCUCCCACCCGAUCCAACUCCAAGUAACAUGUCUUUCUCUAAAAAGUAAUGCAUCAACUACCGAUCAUCCAGUUUCUGAAGGAAACAAAUGGACAGCACUCGAAAAUGAUGAUCCUAGAUCAGACCAACUUUAGCUUCUCUUGAACUAAAUUUAAAAACCGAUCAGCGAAACAACCCCACACGAAGACGAAGGCCACGAGAACUUCGACAAGGACGCCCACCCAUAAUUCUUUUUCUUUCACCUCAUCCAGCGAAAGAGCAAGAGUGAAAGAAGAGAACUGAGUUUCACCUGAUCGCCGUUGUUCCGGAUGAGGAAGUCCCUGUCCGGAGAAGACAGGAGGGACUGAACAUCGUGAGAAGAAGCCCCGCCUUCGACAACGUCCGCCAUCCUGGUCGCGUUCGUUCCUUGUGUCCUGUUCUCGUGUCUCUGCAGAGAGUCUGCCUGAGAACCNNNNNNNNNNNNNNNNNNNNNNNNNNNNNNNNNNNNNNNNNNNNNNNNNNNNNNNNNNNNNNNNNNNNNNNNNNNNNNNNNNNNNNNNNNNNNNNNNNNNGCAAAGAACCAAACGGAAAGAACAUCGGCAUCUAAACUUAAAAGGCGCACGAACUCAUCUUCCAAUCCGGCAAGAUAAGCCCCAACCAAGAAUCAGAUCAGCAAAUGCUCUCGACCCCCACCCUCCCCCAGUUUGAAAUUCAAGAACCGAUCACCACAAGGCCAAGAAUUUCUCGCACGAAACUGGGUAGUCAGCGAAACAACGAGAACUUCCACAAGGACGCCAACCAACCCACAAAAUUCUUUUCUUUCUCCCCUCUUCCAAAGGGAAAGAGCGGGGAGUGAAAGAAGAGAACCGGGAUGGACAGGGUGAUCGCCGUUGUUCGAGAAAAAAAGGGGUCCCUGUCCGGAGAAGACAAGAGGGACUGCACAUCGUGAGAAGAAGCCCCGCCUUCGACAACUUCCGCCAUUCUCGUCGCCUUCGCUGCAGCGUUCUGGUGUCCUUGCAGAGCGUGCUUGAGAAAUCCUCCUAUGGCGGGCUUCUGCACCUUGCUCCUGUUUAUAUAGACAGAAAAAACUCAGGCAGGCAGGUCUUUUU
RNAcentral lists this long non-coding RNA (57290 nucleotides) under Eucalyptus grandis. RNAcentral describes it as "long non-coding RNA (EGRA_LNC004912)". The record is from RNAcentral. Lineage: Eukaryota; Viridiplantae; Streptophyta; Magnoliopsida; Myrtales; Myrtaceae.